RNAcentral lists this long non-coding RNA (48340 nucleotides) under Setaria viridis. RNAcentral describes it as "long non-coding RNA (SVIR_LNC010032)". Lineage: Eukaryota; Viridiplantae; Streptophyta; Magnoliopsida; Poales; Poaceae. The record is from RNAcentral.
AGAUAAUAAUAAUAAUCAUGUUUCCAUAAAAUUGCUAAGUCCAGAGAUAAUACAUAAACAUAGUAGACUGUUCAUGACACAUAUCACGGUGGACAGUGUUUGUGUCCUUAUUACAAGCAACGAGAGAUGCUCGUCACCAACACGCGCGCGCACAGAUGCACGACAUACAUAUAGUAGAGACCAACAGAUGGUCGUCCCAUAUGGUGAACAAUUUAUUGGAGAUAAAUAUUAACGUAACUUGGCCAUAGCUUGAAGCAUAGCAACAUAUGCCUAUGAGUGGCAUUCAUGCUAUCGUUUUAGGCUUGUCCAGCUCCUUCCAUCUUAGCAAGCACUUCCAUUUCUACCAUCUUAGCAGCAACUGUCAAAUUGAGAUACGGAAAUCCCAUUAGCGCAUGAGUUAAUUUUGCAGUGGAAAUAGAGUACAAGAUGUCUUCAUGAUGUAAGUAAUAUGCCUGAAGUUGUGAGAUGGGAAGUGAAGUCAACAAAUUACAUUAACGGAAAUGCAUGGAAGGCCACACAUACGUAUUAGUCCAUGAUAUGCUACAAAGCUUGUAUGUACAUAUAGCAAAUUAAAUGCAUUAAUUGAAUAGAGUGUGUUUAGUGAAUUUACCAGAAUCGUCCAGAAAACAUGGGAAACAGCAAGUGUUCUUGCAGACUGCGUCGGAGGCACCCGCACGAAUACAAAGCUGACAACAUAGUUUUGCCUGGGCGGAUGCGCAGCAGCCGCACUCCGCCGCGGUGGGGUUAACAUUGAGGCUCAAGAUGACCAGGCACAUGAUCACCAUCAAAGUGGUAGUCCUCUUUCCCUCCAUUGCCUCCUCUUAGCUUGCUGCUACCUUCCUUGGUUACCUAGCUAAGUUUAUUGGUUUUGUGUUGAGAGGUGUGAUUCUUGAAUGGACGUUGCCGGCGGCAAUUUAUAGGCAGCUGAGCUAUGUGAUGAUAUGGACUAGGUGCAAAUGGGUGGUUAAUGGCAAGGAAAGGGGCGUCAGACAAAGCCCAAUGGCAACUGCUGACAUGCGAUUAAAUUCAGAUCCACAUCCGGCCAUUCAAUAAUACGGUUGGAGUUGUGGCACAGAUAUAUUAUUGCAUGAUCAUCAAGAUAAGAUCGUACAGUGACUGAGUGAGACAAUAAAUAGCCAAGUAAACUAUUUUAUCCUGCUGCAAGCUGCAUUCAUAAGUUUAUUUCACCUUUGAUCACAAUACUCUUCACACACGUACGUCUCAGGGAGAUCUCACUUCCGCUGGACUGCUCACUUCCGCUGUCGUCGGUACUGCCAAAGACAUAAGCUCACAUCUGCUAUUGCGGAGCAGGCCAAUUUGCUGCGGAACUUCGGCGACGACCUGAAGGACAUGAACUCGGUGCUGGAGUCCAUCUCAGCAGCGCUCUAGGACGCUGACACCGGUAGAAAAACGACCUUCCAUCGUCAACAAAAAUCCCGGUAGCUUUUUUACUCGGUACUAAAGAGGUUUUAAUCUCGUGCAAACACCUUUAGUCCAGAUUGCUAUUACCACGCAACCCGGACUAAAGCGUCCCCCGCGAGUUAGUAUAUAAGGAUUGCAUCCUUUACUCAGUCAGAUAUAAUAUGUAGGUGAGAUGGUAAGGAAGCUAUGCGUGAGGCUUCAGGUUGUGGGUUCGAAUCCAAGUGGGUGCAGCUGUGGCUUAAGCGGCUGAGGCACGCCGCCAUAGACAUCUCAGAUUUGCUCGAAGACUACCAAGACACUAGUGAACCCUUAACAGUAAAGGUGAGUACUUAUGAAUGUCAGCAUCCAUGUUGUCCAUGCUUCCAAUGUAAUAACAAGAUGGACUACUCUUCCUAGCGGACUCUUCACAACCACUCGUAAAGCUAUGCGUUUCUCAAUGCAAUUUCGUAGAAGCCAAUCGAUCCAACCAAGUGACUAAAUCAUUCGUCCUUUCCAAUGAUGUGCAUCAGGUUUUCUAUAUGAAGGGCAUGUCUAGCAAACCUAAGAUUUCAGAAGAAAAAGAAAAAUCAUUGGAGCCAAAGAGCCACAUAGUUCUUCUAGGAAAAAAAUCAUGGGAGUCGAGAACAUAUCAAACCAAUCAGGGGAUUAUGGUCAGCUUAAUGGCAUGCCUCCAUUCGAUGUCGAAGUUCACCCAAGCAUCAUGUUAGCCAAACAUCAAAUGUUCGUGCGUUGUUACGGUAAAGAUCAAUUGUGUUUUUUAAACUCUUGGAAUUUUUUUAUCUAAGUUUUUAUUUACACUUAUUGGAUGUCUACACAUUUGCUAGAAAACUAAAAUAAUUUGGACUUAAUUAUUUCUUUCAACUGAAGUACUCACUAAAUUUCUACCUUUUUAUUUAAGCAAGAGAGUUGCUAAAAAAAAUGGAUACGUAACCAUGUUGUAUCAUACAAAGUAACCACGUUUCACAUAUAGUCCGGCUUAGCAAACACCAUUGUUUUCUGAACAUAGCGUACAUGAGUUAACAGACAUGGAUUUAUUUCUAUUGCAAGUAGCAUAGCGUACAACCUGCCUGCACCGAUGCAGCUCAAUAUGCGAUAAUUUUUAUCUUCCCAUGUAAUUUUUCUACUCUAGUACAUAUUGAACUCCACAUUAAUGUCAUGUUCUUUCGCGCCCCAGAAGGUUCCUAAAGUUUGGAAACUUAAUAGAUAGCCAGAAUUUUUUUUAAAGAUAUUUAUAUGGAUACUUGUAUGUUCUUUCCAAACUAACAAUAUUGUUUACCAAUAUCAGAAGGAAUAUGGUUAGGAGCCAUUGCCGCAUAUGGCAGGUGAUGGUAGAUGGCGUAUGGGGUUUCGUUAAUUUAAUGGUAUAAUAAGCUGAAAUACAUUUUCUAUUUGCAAAUGAAUCAUAGCUGAAAUUGGUGGGAUUGUUUUUUCGCCGGUUUAGCAUCCUGUGCACCAGUUCAACCGGAGGGAAGCUGUUUUUUUUCUUUGGUUUUCCACCGGUUCACCGAGACCGAUGACAAUUUUAUGGCAGAAUCAUUACUUGUUUUACUAUUAGGUGAAGAUUUUAGCGUUUAGGUAUCUCACAUUAAACGCAACUUCAACAAUCUAUUUCUAGUGUAUAAUGUAGGAGACCCCGUAAAGAGUCUACACACACAUAUAUGUUGACUAUGAAUGUAAGUUUGUUGGUUUUAUGUAUGUUCGUUUGGAGUUUAUAUAAAUUUUACAUUUUAUAGUUUUGUGUAUAUGACGAAGAUCCAUGACUUGCAUUAAUUUAGCCUUUCUUCCAACAACUCUUAUGCAUGAUGUUUCUAGGCGAGCGUACUGGUUGCAAUUUUGGUCCCCGAUAUAGUGUGAGGACUUAAGGGACACGUGCAGGUCGUAACCUUAGAUAUUUUUGCUGAGAAUGGAUGAAGAAGCAAUAAUAUACUUUGCUUCUGAUUUUCUCCAUGUCAUUUGCUUACUCUUAUCCCUUUUAUUUAUCAUUAUAAGAUGAAAAUAUUGUAAAAACUUGGCUACGUGCGGUCGCAGAAGCUAGAGACUAAAGCGUCCCCCACGAGUUACUAUAUAAAAGGAUUGCAUCCUCUACUCAGUCAUAUGUACUGUGUAGGUGAGAUGGUAAGGAAGCUAUGUGUGAGGCUUGAGGUUGUAGGUUCGAAUCCCACGCACCGCGUGCGCAUGCGCAUAUUUUGCGUGAAAAAUCGCAUGACUUGUGGUCGGCCAAGGAGAAGUGCGUGCGGCUGAGGCACGCCGCCAUAGACAUCUCGGAUUUGCUCCAAGACUACCAAGACACUAGCGAACCCUUAACGGCAAAGUUGAGUACUUACGCGUGUUAGCAUCUAUGUUGUCCAUGCUUCCAAUGCAAUAACAAGAAGGGCUACUCAUCCUAGCGGAUUCUUCACAACCACUCGUAAAGCUAUGCGUUUCUCAAUGCAAUUUCGUAGAUGUCAAUCGAUCCAACCAAGCGACUGAAUCAUUCGUCCUUGCUAAUGAUGUGCAUCAGGUUUUCUAUAUGAAGAACAUGUCUAGCAAAUCCAAGAUUUCAGAAGAAAAAUAAAAAUCAUGAGAACCAAAGCACCACGUAGUUCUUCCAGGUAAAAAAAACAAUCAUCCACUGGGAUGACACACAGUAGCGAUCCAAAACGUCCAUAUUAAGACUUUUUGAUAGCAGAAAAAACAUGAAAAUGUCUAAUAUUUGUAGUAUUAAAAGGAAAAAUAAUAUAUUCACUUGACCUUUUUUUCGUAGCAACGCACCGGUGCGUAGUCAGACUUAGGCCACGUUUGGAUACUCCCUACUAAAGUUUAGCACCUGUCACAUAGGAUGUUUGGAUACUAAUUAGGAGUAUUAAACAUAGGCUAAUUAUAAAACUAAUUGAACAGAUGGAGUCUAAUUUGCGAGACGAAUCUAUUAAGCCUAACUAGUCCAUGAUUUGACAAUGUGGUGCUACAGUAACCAUUUGCUAAUGGUGGAUUAAUUAGGCUUAAUAGAUUCGUCUCGCGAAUUAACAUAGGGUUCUGCAAUUAAUUUUAUAAUUAGCUCAUGUCUAGUCCUUCUAAUUAGCAUCCGAACAUCUGAUAUGAUACUGCUAAAGUUUAUCACCUAGUAUCCAAAUACCCCCUUAAUGCACGAUGCCUGUGCAUCCACUGGGCCUACCCUCGUGGAUCACGCGCUCGUGGAUCACGCGCACCAUGACAUGGCUCAUUAGCUAGUCGUGCUAAUCCUUACCACCAAAUUAAAAACUAGCAUGUGUUGUGUGUUUGUGACCCUAAACGACUACCACCUUCCCGAGUCCACCGGAGUUGCCAGUUCACCACUAAGCUGACUCUCCGAGCUUCAUGUCACUGUCACCGCUCCAAAGACCUAGAUCGGUUCGCUGUGCACCCCGCUUCGUCCUGAGCUAAAUCCCAUCACGAAAGGUGACCGGAUGCUCGUUUUCGAGCGAAUUCUAGCGAGAUUGCCACCACCUUUCCCCUUCCAGCCGAUCGCAGCUGUCUGAUCACAAACCGACAGCCCAGAUCGGAUUUGACCAGGUCAAUACCGGUCAAGCCGAGAUGCAUGCUGCUUUUGCAAGAAGGCCCCUAUUUUUCUCUCUUUUUGCACUUGAGGUCCUACGCAGUUCAAAAGUAAUUAGAUCUAGAUCCUUUUUCUUCUGUUUUAGCCCUGUUCUUUUAUAAAAUCCCACCCGCCAUCCUGUUUGGUAUUUUGACAUGUUAGACCUUCUAUUUAUAUGUUUAAUUAGGUUUUAGCCCUUGGUUUCUUUAAGUUUAGCUCUUGGAAGUUUAGUUUUCUCGCAGUUAAGCCCCUGAACCUUGUUUAGUUCAUAUCUUUAGCGUUUUAAAUCCGUUUUAAGAGAUUCUUACGCCCAUAAGUUCGUGUUGAUGCAUAGAUUAGUUGACUUAUACGGACCUUGCUGAUUCAGCUCCUUCAUUGUGCUUCAGAUCUCGCUAGUGAAGAAUAAUGGAUGGGCUUUGGUUGAGCUUGUAGAUCGACCUGCAGUUGCAGUGAAUGUGCUGAGGACUGGCGGUACCAAUAAUGGGAGGCCGCUGCUCUGCUUGCUACCAAGGCCUGCGACGCUUGGACGCCAUUCAGAGUGCAUAAUUUCCAAGGAUCUCAAGGGCUCCACACCACGUUCCAAGUGUUUUUUCUUUGCCGAGUGUUUUUAGCUCGGCACUUGGCAAAGAGCUUGUUUGCCGAGUGUCCGAAAAAAACACUUGGCAAAGAGAAAACACUCGGCAAAUUUGAUGUUUCCCGUAGUGAUGUACUAUUCAAACUUGAACUGGGAUGCAGGCUUCAGUACCAAAGAGAGCUCUGGGCGCGGGUGAGCAGUGAGCUGGCCGGGCAGGGAGCUCCAAAGCGACAGCAACAAAGAGAGAAAUGCUAAGAGUAAGAACGACACACGAGGUCACUUCACAUAGAUAAUAGCAGUACGAACCAUACAAUAUCCUCUCUCAGUUUCACUCCGCCUCACACACGGCUAGCACACCAUGCAUGCCGAUUUCAUAUUAUUAAUAUUAUUUUUUGGAUGGUUGUUGAAACUAUAUAUAUAGUUAGUCCAAUCUCACGUUUCCGAUUAUAAAAAUCAACGUAAAGAGAUCGGUAGGGAGAGCCGGCAUAAUGAAGCCGACGCGUGUAAUAAGCACCAGAGCCGGCAUUUAUACAAACUGGUACGAAUAGUAAAAAACUAGAAUUUAUAAAUAAAAAAAUGAUUUGCACAUCUAUGCAAUAAUUAGGGGUUAGUGGCAGGUCUAGAGAGAUAUCUCAUCAUUAUAUCCGGUUUAACGAGGAUAAAAAAGAGUGUAUUUUCCACUCAUCAUGUUGUCUUUUCGCAGCGGUACCACUUUUCGUGUGUUGUAUCGGUCCCCUAAUACGGAGUCUCCGAGGCCCGAGAAAAUAAGGAAAGUGAUAGUAGCCCAGAAAUCGGCCAAGUUUCUUUCCCCUUUGGCUUUCCUACUAGGAUUCAGAAUCCUCUUUCGCAUGACAAUCUUAAUUAUCUCCCAUACUCCAAAACUCACAAAAACAUCAAGAGUCCGCUGAGAAUAAAUUUAAGUAAAAAACAUGCACACACAGAUAAUAAUAAUAAUCAUGUUUCCAUAAAAUUGCUAAGUCCAGAGAUAAUACAUAAACAUAGUAGACUGUUCAUGACACAUAUCACGGUGGACAGUGUUUGUGUCCUUAUUACAAGCAACGAGAGAUGCUCGUCACCAACACGCGCGCGCACAGAUGCACGACAUACAUAUAGUAGAGACCAACAGAUGGUCGUCCCAUAUGGUGAACAAUUUAUUGGAGAUAAAUAUUAACGUAACUUGGCCAUAGCUUGAAGCAUAGCAACAUAUGCCUAUGAGUGGCAUUCAUGCUAUCGUUUUAGGCUUGUCCAGCUCCUUCCAUCUUAGCAAGCACUUCCAUUUCUACCAUCUUAGCAGCAACUGUCAAAUUGAGAUACGGAAAUCCCAUUAGCGCAUGAGUUAAUUUUGCAGUGGAAAUAGAGUACAAGAUGUCUUCAUGAUGUAAGUAAUAUGCCUGAAGUUGUGAGAUGGGAAGUGAAGUCAACAAAUUACAUUAACGGAAAUGCAUGGAAGGCCACACAUACGUAUUAGUCCAUGAUAUGCUACAAAGCUUGUAUGUACAUAUAGCAAAUUAAAUGCAUUAAUUGAAUAGAGUGUGUUUAGUGAAUUUACCAGAAUCGUCCAGAAAACAUGGGAAACAGCAAGUGUUCUUGCAGACUGCGUCGGAGGCACCCGCACGAAUACAAAGCUGACAACAUAGUUUUGCCUGGGCGGAUGCGCAGCAGCCGCACUCCGCCGCGGUGGGGUUAACAUUGAGGCUCAAGAUGACCAGGCACAUGAUCACCAUCAAAGUGGUAGUCCUCUUUCCCUCCAUUGCCUCCUCUUAGCUUGCUGCUACCUUCCUUGGUUACCUAGCUAAGUUUAUUGGUUUUGUGUUGAGAGGUGUGAUUCUUGAAUGGACGUUGCCGGCGGCAAUUUAUAGGCAGCUGAGCUAUGUGAUGAUAUGGACUAGGUGCAAAUGGGUGGUUAAUGGCAAGGAAAGGGGCGUCAGACAAAGCCCAAUGGCAACUGCUGACAUGCGAUUAAAUUCAGAUCCACAUCCGGCCAUUCAAUAAUACGGUUGGAGUUGUGGCACAGAUAUAUUAUUGCAUGAUCAUCAAGAUAAGAUCGUACAGUGACUGAGUGAGACAAUAAAUAGCCAAGUAAACUAUUUUAUCCUGCUGCAAGCUGCAUUCAUAAGUUUAUUUCACCUUUGAUCACAAUACUCUUCACACACGUACGUCUCAGGGAGAUCUCACUUCCGCUGGACUGCUCACUUCCGCUGUCGUCGGUACUGCCAAAGACAUAAGCUCACAUCUGCUAUUGCGGAGCAGGCCAAUUUGCUGCGGAACUUCGGCGACGACCUGAAGGACAUGAACUCGGUGCUGGAGUCCAUCUCAGCAGCGCUCUAGGACGCUGACACCGGUAGAAAAACGACCUUCCAUCGUCAACAAAAAUCCCGGUAGCUUUUUUACUCGGUACUAAAGAGGUUUUAAUCUCGUGCAAACACCUUUAGUCCGGAUUGCUGUUACCACGCAACCCGAACUAAAGCGUCCCCCACGAGUUACUAUAUAAGGAUUGCAUCCUUUACUCAGUCAGAUAUAAUGUGUAGGUGAGAUGGUAAGGAAGCUAUACGUGAGGCUUCAGGUUGUGGGUUCGAAUCCAAGGAGAAGUGGGUGCAGCUGUGGCUUAAGCGGCUGAGGCACGCCGCCAUAGACAUCUCAGAUUUGCUCGAAGACUACCAAGACACUAGUGAACCCUUAACAGUAAAGGUGAGUACUUAUGAAUGUCAGCAUCCAUGUUGUCCAUGCUUCCAAUGUAAUAACAAGAUGGACUACUCUUCCUAGCGGACUCUUCACAACCACUCGUAAAGCUAUACGUUUCUCAAUGCAAUUUCGUAGAAGCCAAUCGAUCCAACCAAGUGACUAAAUCAUUCAUCCUUUCCAAUGAUGUGCAUCAGGUUUUCUACAUGAAGGGCAUCUCUAGCAAACCCAAGAUUUCAGAAGAAAAAGAAAAAUCAUUGGAGCCAAAGAGCCACAUAGUUCUUCCAGGAAAAAAAAAUCAUGGGAGUCGAGAACAAAUCAAACCAAUCAGAGGAUUAUGGUCAGCUUAAUGGCAUGCCUCCAUUCGAUGUCGAAGUUCACCCAAGCAUCAUGUUAGCCAAACAUCAAAUGUUCGUGCGUUGUUACGGUAAAGAUCAAUUGUGUUUUUUAAACUCAUGGAAUUUUUUUUCUAAGUUUUUAUUACACUUAUUGGAUGUCUACACAUUUGCUAGAAAACCAAAAUAAUUUGGACUUAAUUAUUUCUUUCAACUGAAGUACUCACUAAAUUUCUACCUUUUUAUUUAAGCAAGAGAGUUGCUAAAAAAAAUGGAUACAUAACCAUGUUGUAUCGUACAAAGCAACCACAUUUCACAUAUAGUCCGGCUUACCAAACACCAUUUUUUACUGAACAUAGCGUACAUGAGUUAAGAGACAUGGAUUUAUUUCUAUUGCAAGUAGCAUAGCGUACAACCUGCCUGCACCGAUGCAGCUCAAUAUGCGAUAAUUUUUAUCUUCCCAUGUAAUUUUUCUACUCUAGUACAUAUUGAACUCCACAUUAAUGUCAUGUUCUUUGGCGCCCCAGACGGUUCCUAAAGUUUGGAAACAAAAUAGAUAGCCAGAAAUUUUUUUAAAAAAUAUUUAUAUGGAUAUUUGUAUGUUCUUUGCAAACUAACAAUAUUGUUUACCAAUAUCAAAAGGAAUAUGGCUAGGAGCCAUUGCCGCAUAUGGCAGGUGAUGGUAGAUGGCGUAUGGGAUUUCGUUAAUUUAAUGGUAUAAUAAGCUGAAAUACAUUUUCUAUUUGCAAAUGAAUCAUAGCUGAAAGUGGUGAGAUUGUUUUUUCGCCGGUUUAGCAUCCUGUGCACCGGUUCAACUGGAGGGAAGCGGUUCACCGAGACGGAUGACAAUUUUACGGCAGAAUCAUUACUUGUUUUAUUAUUAGGUGAAGAUUUUAGCUUUUAGGUAUCUCACAUUAACAAUCUGUUUCUAGUGUAUAAUGUAGGAGACCCGUAAAGAGUCUACACACACAUAUAUAUGUUGACUAUGAAUGUAAGUUUGUUGGUUUUAUGUAUGUUCAUUUGGAGUUUAUAUAAAUUUUACAUUUUAUAGUUUUGUGUAUAUGACGAAGAUCCAUGACUUGCAUUAAUUUAACCUUUCUUCCAACAACUCUUAUGCAUGCUGUUUCUAGGGGAGCGCACUGGUUGCAAUUUUGGUCCCCGAUAUAGCAUGAGGACUUAAGGGAGACGGGCACGUCGUAACCUUAGAUAUUUUUGCAAGAAGCAAAUUAUACUUUGCUUUUGAUUUUCUCCAUGCCAUUUGCUGACUCUUAUCCCUUUUAUUUAUCAUUAUAAGAUGAAAAUAUUGUAAAAACUUGGUUACGUGCGGUCGCAGAAGCUAGAGACUAUUUCUUUUUUUAAAAAUACGCAAGAGGGAGAAACUUGGUAACAGCUAGACAGUGAAGAUCGCAUUUCAUAAGAAAGAUGGUGCACGUUCUUGUUUGGCUGUUAACGAAAUGACUUCGUUUCACCACACCACCAGAGAGCCCCAUUGCACUUGCAGCAAAAGCGUGGAGCCGCUUUCAACCAGCGUGCAAUAAUGCAGUCCCGCGUGUCUUGGUCUUACAGGAUAUUUGGUUCUUUAGUCCGGACUAAAAUUCAUGUCGCAUAGAAUAUUCAGAUGUUAAAUAGGAGGACUAAACAUGAGCUAAUUAUAAAAAUAAUUACACAAAUGGAGGCUAAUUCCCAAGACAAAUCUAUUAAGUCUAAUUAAUCCAUCAUUAGCACAUGUUUACCGUAGCACCGUAUUGUCAAAUCAUGGACUAAUUAGGCUUAAUAAAUUCGUCUCGCAAGUUAGUCUCCAUCUAUACAAUUUGUUUUAUAAUUAGUCAAUGUUUAAUACUCUAUCUAAACAUUCAAUGUGACUGAAAUUUUAGGAGGUCCUAAAGAACCAAACACCCCUUAGUCUCCGCCUGAACUAUAGCAGGUGCUGGCAGCGGUAGCAGGGUCGUCCAUUAUAUCUAUGGAUGGAAAUGAUCUGAUUCGGAUGGAAUCGAAUUCGAAUAGCACUUUUUACCACAUACUAAUCUGAAUUGGAUGUUCUCGAAUGUGAAUGCAAAACGGAUAGUUCAAAUUUGAAUACUUUGCGGAUUUUUGCAUAAUAUUAAUCGAAGAGAAUUUGUUAAAUUUAGCCGAGACAUAAAUUUUUCUAAAUUCAAAUACUUUGCAGAUUUUCGAAUGCAAAUUUUUUCAUACGAUCUCGGUUGAAUACAAACUUUAUAUCAAAGUUGUAUAUUUAGAUUAUAUAUAAAACUUUGUAGUUGACCUCCUUUUCAUUUAAAAUUUUUUAAUAGCUCAAAACAUUAUUCUAAGCUUUCUAAUUUCAAAAUCUUGAAUUUUAAAUUUUUCAAACGACCUCGGAUGCAAACAAGCUCUAUAUCAAAGUGCUUAAUGAGAUAUAAAAUUUUGUAGUUGACAAGUUUUUUAGUUGAAAACAUUUAGUUAUCACAAACAUACAAGUUCUUCAUUUGAUGUCGAGGAUUGGAAGUGUUGAGUUUGAAGAAUAUAUUCUUUGAUUACAAACUUUUCCAUAUGAUCUUGGAUGAAUACGAACUUUAUUUCAAAGUUGCAAAUUUAGAUUAGACCAAAAACAGUAUAGUUUACAAUUUUUUCAUUCAAAAUUAUUUAGUAGCUCAAAAUGUUAUUCUAAACUCUCUAAUUUUGAAAUCUUGAAUUUUAAAAUUUUCAAAUGACCUCGGAUGCAAACAAGCUCUAUAUCGAAGUGGUAGUUCUUAAUGAGAUAUAAAAUUUUGUAGUUCCAUCUGAGAUCAUUUAACAGUCACAAAUAUACAAGUUUUUCAUAUGAUGCUAAGGAUCAGAAAGAUUAAGUUUGAAGGCUGUAUUUUUUUAAUACAAAUUUUUGCAUACGAUCUCGGAUGAAUACAAACUUUAUAUCAAAAUUGUAGAGCUCGAUGAGAAUUUAAACUUUGUAGUUGAUAUAUUUUUCAUUCGAGAAUGUUUAGUGGUCCAAACAUGUAUUAUAAGUUCAGAGAAGAAACACACAAUCGGCCACGUCAUCAAUUGACAACUUCCAAACUGAGCAUUCCUAUUGGUUCACACCUUUCCCUUUCAACUCGUCAAGCUUAUCUCCUCCCACUCCUCCAUCGUUCACUCCCCCUUCCCCUUCCUCUCUCCCUCCCUCCCUCCGCUCCAGCAGUGGCAGCCCGACCUGCCUCCUAGGACGGUGGUGUGCGGGGCUCGGGCAUCCCUGGCCUCUAGUGGCGUGGCAGGGCGGCCUCCAGCAGCGAUGGCGGAACUCGGCCUCCGGUGGCGCACAGGCAGCGCAGCCUACCUGGUCAAAGGCGGCGCAACAGGGCGACCUCCCCAGCCUCCGGCGGCGCGCAGGGCAUCCAUGACCUCCCCGGCCUCCCUUGCCAGAGGUGGUGCGCGGGGCUGCGCCGACCUCCCCAACCAGAGGUGGCAAGGCCCCAGCUUACGGCGGCGCGUGGCUCCCCAGCUAGGGUGUGGUGGGGCGGCGGCAAGUCAGGCGUGGCCGCGUGGGGGUGGGGGGAGGGGGUUGGGCUGGGCGGAUUCAGAUAGUAUCCAUUUAACCAUCCGAAAUGUGGAUAUCCGUUUAACAAUCCGUUUAGCAAAACCGAAUUUGGAUACUUCCACUUAAGUAUCCAACUAGGAUUCGAAUGCGGAUGGUCCUACCAUAUUGUUAUUUCAGCGGAUACGAAUAUGGGAUAAUUCGAAUAACGACUUACCCAUCCCUGAUUAUAUCCGUGUAAAUAAAUAAUUGCGGCAGCAGGUUCCCGUCGCCACGCCCCCGUCAAACCAAACAAUUGCUUGCGCGACACCGUGUUACUAGAUCUUGUACAGUACUCCCUCCGUUGCAGUACUCCCUAAUGAAAGUUGAGAAUCGAUCGACAACCACGGCUAGUUGCUAUGCACUCGAUCAGAUGGUCCAGGCGCCCGCUGGUAAUCAGGUCGUGGUUCACGCGCAUCAGGCCAGCUAUGACGUUGCCAGCAGUGCUCAGUACACAAAUCUAGCUAUCAGUCGGAUCCAAUUGGGCAGGCAUUUGCACUGUGGUUGUGUUUGAACCUGUAGAUGUCGUUGUCAUUAUCAGGCACCAUACAUCCUCUCUCAGAGGGUGUUUCACCCCCUAAACUUUAGCCCCUCUCACAUCGAAUGUUUUAGAUACUAAUUAGGAAUAUUAAACAUAGAAAAUUUACUAAACCCAUUACAUGGAUGGAGGGUAAACGGCGAGACAAAUCUAUUAAAUCUAAUUAGUCCAUGAUUUGACAAUGUGCUGCUAUAGUAACUAUUUGCUAAUGAUGGAUUAAUUAGACUUAAUAGAUUUUUCUUGCUGUUUAGCCUCCGUCUGUGCAAUUAGUUUUAUAAUUAAUUCAUAUUUAGUCCUCCUAAUUAGUCUCCGAAUAUUUGAUGUGACACGGACUAAACUUUAGAUAGCACACCAGGGACCGACACCAUGCAUGCUGAUUUCAUAUCAUAAUUAAGGAAAGUGAUAUCAUAAUUAAGGAAAGUGGUAGCAUCCAAGAAAUCGAUCAUGUUUCUUCCCCCUUUGGCUUUCCUACUAGGAUUUGGAUAGCGGGCCUUCCUACUAGGAUUUGGAAUCCGCUAUCGCAUGACUAUCUUAAUUAUGUCCCAUAGUCCAAAACUCACAAAACAUCAAAAAUCCAUCGAGAAUAAAUUAAGUAAAAAACAUGCGCACACAGAUAAUAAUAAUAAUAAUCAUGUUUCAAUAAAAUUGCUAAGAUUAGAGAUAGUACAUAAACAUAUUAGAUUGUUCGUGACACAUAUCAUGGUGGAUAGUGUCUGUGUCCUUAUUACAAGCAGCGAUAGAUGCUUGUCACCACACACACGCACGCACAGAUGCACGACAUACAUAUAGUUGAGACCAACGGAUGGACGUCCCAUAGGGUGAAUAAUUUAUUGGAGAUAAAUAUUAACAUAACUUGGCCAUAGCUUGAAGCAUAGCAACAUAUGCUUAUGAAUGGCAUUCAUGCGGGUAGCAAUGCUAUCAUAUGCUUUUAGGCUUGUCCUUAGCUUCUUCCAUCUUAUAGCAAACACUGCCAUUUCUUCCAUCUUAGCAGCAACUGUCAAAUUAAUUGAGAUAUGGAAAUCCCAUUAGCGCAUGAGUUAAUUUUGCAGUGGAAAUAGAGUAGAAGAUGUCUUCAUAAUGUAAGUAAUAUGACUCUGACAUAGGGAGUGAAGUCAACAAAUUACAUUAACGGAAAUGCAUGGAAGGCCACGCAUAUGUAUUAGUCCGAUAUGCUACAAAGCUUGUAUGUACAUAUAAUAAAUUAAAUGCAUUGAAUAGAGUGAUUUUAGUGAAUUUACCUAAAUCGGAUUAAAAAACAUGGGAAACAACAAGUGUUCUUGUAGGGCUUUGUUUAGUUCCCAAAUUGGGAGUAGCAAAGUUUGCAUUUUACCAUAAAUGCGCAACUAUAGCAUGUAGCAUUUUGUUUGUAUUUGUGAAUUAUUAUCCAAACAUUGACUAAUUAGGCUCAAAAGAUUCAUCUCGCAAAGUACAACAAAACUGUGCAAUUAGUUUUUGAUUUCGUCUACAUUUAGUACUCCGUGCAUGUACCGCAAGUUUGAUGUGAUGGGGAAUCUUGCUUUUCAAUAGUGACAAAGUUGGGAUUUCGGGGGGAAGGCCUGUGUCGGAGCCACAUGCAAGAAUGGCUGACAUUGAGGCUCAGACAAAGCCCAAUGGCAACUGCUGACAUGCGAUUAAAUUUAGAUAUCCACAUCCAGCCAUUCACAUUUAUGAGAUAUGGACACGGUGCAAAUGGGUGGGGUCCUGAUAUGGAGGUGCGAAUGGCUGUCUACUUGUAUAGUGUAGCUCCAAUGUACGUAUAUGUAUCUUAUGCAUGUAUACAGUUGCACAAACUCUGAACCAACUCUUCAUAACAGGUCUUUGUUACCAAGUAACUUUACUUUUGCACGUUUCAGCCGAGAGGUAGAAGAGAAUAUUUUUGCAUUUUCCAUGUGCGUCAGUGGUAGAGAACUAGGAAUUAGUUCCGGAUGGUAGGGCACAAAUCUUCCAAACAACUAUCCGAAAUUAAGCAAUCGAGAUAAAGGGUGCCAUCUAUUCUCUCCGAAAAACACAGGUACCAAAAAGAAGAAGAGAAGAGGGAGGGCCUCCCGUUAAGGCCCGCUCGGGGUCUCCAUCCCACCACGCGCCCUCCCAACCCAAAGCCCAUCGUUUUCCCUCCGUCCCUCCCCUCUCCAUUGCCGCCGCCGCUCCCCUCAUCCGAGCUCGAUACGGGUGGUCGGCGGCCCCUCCUCUCCGCUCCCGCCCCCGGCCUCCCUUUGACCGCCGGGCGCCGGCAUCACUGCCGCGGCCAACCCCAGGGCGCAGCGCGUGCCUCUAUUUCUCUCCCCCGUUCAAGGGCCCUUUGAUGGCGACGAGCACCCACCCACCAGGUAUGCCCUCCCCUUCUCUUCCUAACCCUAAUAUAUUCGGAUCUCACCCAGUCACAAUAUAUUACCUAAUAGCUUCGAUUUUGUUUGCAAAAAUCAUCACGUGCGCACCCAUGUCCGCUAGAUUCUUGCGCCUGAUCCUGUGCUGCUAUGGUUUGGGCGGGGUAGACUAGUUGAUUCGUGCACUUUUGGGUGCUUGUAGUGCUAGGUUUUGGAGGGGGAUAGCCCAGUUGAUUCCUCCGUUUUGGGUGCUCAUGGUGAUAGGAUUUGGAUGGGGAUAGCCCCAAUGAUUCGUGCGCCUUUGGGUGCUGGGGAUAGUUUUGGGUGCCUGGAUAGUCCAGUUUCAAUGUCAGUAUAUGCGUAUUUUGGGGAGAAUUUUGUUUUGGGUGGUUCUGGUGCUAGAGUUUCUGAUGCUUAGUAGCCCAGUUUCAAUCAAAUUCCCCCAUGGGUCGUGCACUACGGGAAACAAGAAAAUUGCCGAGUGUAUUUUUUUUGUCGAGUGUUUUUUUUCGAGCACUCAGCAAACAAGCUCUUCGCCGAGUGCCAAGUCAAAAACACUCGGCAAAAAAAAACACUCGGCAAAUCGGGGCUUUGCCGAGUGUCAAAUAAAAAACACUCGGCAAAGAAGGGGGUUUGCCGAGUGUUAAAAAAAACACUCGGCAAACAGGAGGGUUUGCCUAGUGUUUUUUUGACACUCGGCAAAAAAAUAAUUGUUUUUCCUCUUUUCACCUUGAAAUUUUUUCUACUCCCCACAUACAACACGUGGUACUCCAUGUUAAAAUUUGGUAUAUUUUUGGAUUUAUUUGCUAUAUUUAUUUAAUUAAUUGCAUUACAAGGAAAUUUUUGGUAUAAGUCAAAUUUGAACUGCAAGUGAUUCAAAUUGUGGAACAAAAUGAGUAGAAAAAUGAUAUUCAUGUUAUUUGGCUCAAUUUGAGACCUGACCCAUGAAAUGAAAAGAAAUUUCGAACAUCUUGUUCAGGAAACACGACAAUGAACAUGUGGCGGUAGUAUUUUUAAAUUGUAAAAAAAACAAGCAAAGUCUGAAAAUCAUGAGAUUUGUAGUUAUGUGAUGAUAUAAUACGUGGAAGCUGUGGAAAAAAAUUGGAAAGGUUUUGCACAUUUCAUCAUGUACGAUGAUUACAAACCGAAGCAUAUCAGAAGAAGAAUAGUAACUUUGAGAAGGAUUCGAUAAAAUUUAGAGUCGAAGUGACGGUCGAGUUCGGUUUGACUACAAAACUUUUUGUAUAGUCAGUAGAGAACAUAUCUUAUUUCGUGUGAAAAUUUGGUAUUUUUUGAAACUGUUGGAUAUUUUUAAUUUUUUUUUAAAAAAACUUUGCCGAGUGUCCUAGGGUAGACACUCGGCAAAGAAAAACUUUACCGAGUGCCCGCCUAGGACACUCAGCGAACCUUUUUUUAAACCUACCGGCUCCGGCCGGCCCAGCCCACAAACACCACCCGCCCCCCGCCCCCGCGCCUUCUUCCUCACGCCGCCCCCGCCCCCCACCCGUGCCUCCGGACCGCCCCCUCCUCCCCCUGGCCUCCCCUCACGCCGCCCCCCUCCUCCCCUAGCUCCCUCCACCGGCGGCCCUCCCUCCCCCGGCGCACAUCCUCCACUCCUCCUCCCCUUCCCUUCCCUCCCCUCCCCUCCCCUCUUCCUCCCCUGGCCGGAUCUGGCGCCCCUAGCUCCCCUUUCUUCCGCGGCCAGAUCUGGCGCCCUCCCGGCGGCGGGUCGUGGCGAUCGGGGCGGCGGCGGCGGAUCAGGCCGCGGGGCGGCGGCGGCGGCGGGUCGUGGCUACCGGGGCGGCGCCCUGCCCCUCCCCUCCCUCUCCAUCUCCGGCUGCCGUCCACCCCCUCCCCGGAUCCGCCCCCCUCCCCUCCGCGCGGCCAGCCCCUCCUCCCUCUCCGGCCGCCGCCCCGGCCCCUCCUCUCCCUUUCUCCGGCCACCGCCCCGCCCAUCUUCUCUGGAUCCGGCCGGAUCCGGCCGCCGCACAGCCCCUCCUCCCCGGAUCCGGUGGGCGCGGACUUCGUGGUGGUGGCGCCGGAUCCCUCCCCUCCCUCUCCAGAUAACUCCCUCCACUCCUCCGCUCUUCCCCUCUCUCGCGCGGCGGCCUCUCUCCGGCCGCCGCCCCGCCCCUCUCCCCGGAUCCGGGGGGGGGGGGACUCCGCCCCUCUGCCCCGGAUCCAGCUCCCCGACCCGCGAGUGGGGCGAGCUUGCUCAUGCGGUCGACGUCGAGGCCAGGGUGUGGUGGAGGUGGUGGCCGGCGGGUGUGGUGGUGGUGGCGGCGGCGGGCAUGGCGGCGCGGAGGCAAGGCACGGCGGCCGGUGGGAGGCACGGGUGCAAGGCGUCGACGGCAGGAGGCAAGGCACGGCAGCAUGGGAGGUGGUGCUGUGGUGGUGGUGCUGGCGGUGGUGGCGGCGGCGGAGCAGGAUGUGGUGGUGGCGGAGGAUGUUUUUUUUUCAAAAAUUUGUUGCCGAGUGUUUUCUCGGCACUCGGCAAAGACUUUACCGAGUGCCCGACACAAAACACUCGGCAACUCAGUGUUUGCCGACUGAAAAAUUGCCGUGUGCCGUUUGCCGAGUGUUACACUCGGCAAACGGUUCGCCGAGGGUUUUUUGCCCUUCGCCGAGUGCCCCUAGCACUCGGCAAUUUCACUAUCUCCCGUAGUGGUGGCUGGACUUAUGGGGGGAUCAUUGAUGGGGGACUAGUUGGAUACUUUUUGGCUGUUUUGGGAGUCCUUGGCAGCGGCUUCUCAGGGCGUACGUAGCCCAUUGUAGAUUCCAGCCGAGAAGAUUAAGGAAUUGUGACUGCAACCAUGUUACUUUUCUAGGACUCUGUUUCUGAUAUUGUUCCCGCUGCAUCUUUUCAUCCCCAUGGUGAAUGUUGCUGUUGAUCUGUAGAUUGGAUUUGUUCCUCGGUAGCUUUAUUAGAUUUGUGCUGAAUGAUAAUCUCUGCCUGUGAUAUUUUUCUUCAUUGCGGAUGUGUGCCGAGUAUUAUCCCCUUUGUUCAUUCUGUUGGCUUUUUUUAUUGUCUCUGUACUCGGCUGUUCAGCUUGUGCAGCUAAUGAUCUAAUGUAUUUUGUCGUAACUAUGUAUUUUUCGGAUGUGUGCCGAGUAUUAUCCCCUUUGUUUAUUCUGUUGGCUUGCUUUCAUUGAUCUUAAGAUAACUGGUGCUAUAAAUUCACACUAGCUGAUGCACUUGCAAAUAGCUAUGUAAAUAUGAAAAGAAGUAUUUUUUUAUCCUUUUGUUUGUUUGGCAUCAUAUCUGUUUAAAUGGCAUAGCAAUAAGAAUUUUUUGUUUUUGGGGAAUCAUAUCUGCUUAAAUGGUAUAGAAAAUGCUGAGUGCACUGUCAAAUAGAUUUUCCAGCAGUCUGCUUUCAGUUGUUUUUGCAAAUCCUCACAGGCCAGUGAACUGACUUUGUUUUUACCACCCCAUGCCAUUUAAAUGACUAAAUCAGUCAGCCUAAUACUAUAUAUGGUCAUGCUAUGAUCUUAUUUCUUGAAGCUCUAUAGGUCAACCCAUAAGGGUAACUUAGUUUUUCCUAUUCUGGCUGGGGAAGUGGAUACGAUGGCUAUCCUUGGUAGAGUUAAAUACAUUGGCGGCUCUUAGCGCGCCAAUGUGGCACCACAAUAUCGAACAUAUGUAGAAACCCCCUUGUUUUUUCUCAUAUCCCUCUCUCUCAGCGUCCUCUUCUCUUCUUCUCCUCUGUCUCCUCCCCUCCCAUCGCGUGCUUUAUUGCGCCGCCGCCAUCCGCCUCCAUGUAUGAACACGUCGUUUGUCAUGAAGAAGCAGUUGAUGAGGCAAUCAAGCAUGUGGUGCACAAGGUUCUUCUGCUGGCCAAGUCCGAGUCGAACAGCCGCGCAUUCAUUGGGGAAGCACGCGCCAGGCAUCACCAGGCUCCUCGUGCCCCUACUCUGCUCCAAGGACUCGGUGCUUCGACGCGCUGCUUUCCCUGUCCGGCGAGCGGGGAUCGUUGGGAGAUGAUCGAUGGAGGAUGGAGCUGAUCCUCCUGUACACGGUGCCGGUGGGGAGCAGGGAGCUGCGGAGCAGGUCCACGGGCGGCGCCAUUACAGCAGGUGCAGGCUAAGGGUAAUGAGCAGAUCGAGGCGAUGGAGGAGGACCCGCACGAGGUGCAGCUUCUUCGCCUCCUGCGCAAAGUCAGCGCCCAAGCAGCCGCUGAGGGACAGGCCGAGGCUUAGCUCGAUCUCAUCCGACUAAAUGGUGGCUGCACUCCCACAGUCCCACUGGUGCUCCUCCCUUCUGUCCGAACCUGCCGAGGAAAUCCCUCGAUGCCAUGGGUCCCGGCUGGACGACUACUCCUCCCACAGAUUGACUGAGGAAGAAGAGCUUCUCAGUGUCCAAAAAUUCAGUUACACUGGAAACAGCAACCAAUUACGUUCUUCCGGCUCAGCCAAGCCCCAAUCUCCUUGCUUCUGUGCGCCCCUGCUAAAUAUUCCAGAAACCAAUCUGGUUAGUUGUUUUUUCACAUUUUCAGUGCAUGCCGGUGCUGCUGUGUGCGGCAUGCAUGGAGUUGUCGUGGGAGUGCACGGUGGCUUAGCUGGUGCGCCAGUGCGCGGGCACGAACACAACGGUGAAGAUGGCAGGGCCAUCUCAAAGCUCCUGAGCACCUGCACGCGUCGCUGAGCAGGACAUGCUGCGACGGUGGGCGAGCGCUGCUAACGCCCUGGGGAAGAGCAGUGGGUGCAGAGAGAGGGAGCGAGGGAGAGGGGUUCUUGUAUAUGUUUGCUAGCGUGGCACCGUUUACGGUGCCCGCCUAAGUGGCAUUCACGUGUCAUUCAUCCCAAAUGGUGUUGCAAGGUUGAACCUAUUGUGGGAGGCUUUUGGUUUCCCUUGACAGUAUCACCAGUGAUAUCACUGCGUUCUGGUUAUGUAUGAAACACUUGUCCUUUUAAAACCUUUCUGAAUUUAGAAACGAAUUUGAAACAUUACCCUCAUUUCCAUGUUUUUCUAUCUUUUGUCCCUGUAAAAUCAAACUAAAUUUGAAUUAUUAUGUUCAGAACUACAAGCUGAUUUACUUGUCCCAUUUGCUAAUAACAGGGCCUUGUGAUUUCUAAUGAACAUUGCAGAGCAUGUUAUAAAGCGUAUGCAUGAACACCAAGGGGAUGAAACCAUUGGUAUAUUUCUCACAACCUUUUGAACUUAUCAUUUAGCAUAUUUGUGUUCUAGUGUGACGUUUCAGCCACGAGACAUGAGAAAUGUUAGCUAUGGAUUUUGGUUAUUCAUCAUGGGUUCACAGAUUUGUUUUUCUCUAAAAGAAUUGGGAAGUAGCUUUCUUUCUGGGUAUAUGUGGGGAAAUGCAUAUGCAAUCUUUUAUUUAUUGAGGUGACUGUAAAAUUCUUGUCUGACUGAAUAUGCGAUUUCAACCUACAUGCUAUACUUAGGGAAAUUUGUGAAUCUCCUAAUGUCUGCUGCAUGGCAUGAAUGCAUAUUUUACUGGUCCAUAAUGUGAAGUUCUGUAUAUAAACUUCUCGUGUUGACCCUUUAGAACAUGCUAACUGGAGAGUUUUCUAGAGUAGUUAAACAAGAGAUUUAGUUAAAUCUGCACACAUAGGUGGGGCCUGGCAUACCCUAAGAAUCGGCCUAGCCGGUCAGCCCAUUAGUAAAAAAAAAAGCACCGCAGUCAGCAGUCCCCACGUUGGUCUUCCUCGAGUCGCGACUCGCGAAGCUCCCAUCCUCCGAGUCCAAGAUGGUGGACUGUGUCGAGCGCGGGGCGGGCGAUUAGUUGCCCGGCCGCCGGCGGGGGAUGGCCGGACGGCCAGAUCGCCGACUCCUCUAGUCCUCCCUCCAGCCUCUGCGCUUCUUUCACAGUGGAGCUAGCGGCGAGGCGCCCGACCGACACCCUUCUUCCCAAAUCCCGGCAGCCCUACCUCGAUUUGGCCUCCUCCGAUCAUUUGAUAAUCAAUUUGAUGAAAUUAAUAUGGAGUUGCUUUCUUGUAUGGUUGCCUUCAAUCCUGCUAAUUCAUUUGCUUCAUUUGAUGCACAAAAGAUACAUAGACUUGCUAUAUUUUUAUCCACAAGACAUCACAAGCACGGAUUUGCUAAAACUUGAAUUCCAGCUCGAUAUUAUAUUGAUGAUGUGAGAUAGGAUGAUAGUUUCAAAGGCCUACAAGAUCUUGUUAACUGAGACUCAGUUAAGCUUGUUGAAACAAACAGGCAUAAUAUUUAUGACUUGGUUUACUUGCUUCUCAAAUUGGUAUUGGUUCUUCUUGUGGCGACAGCUAGUGUUGAAAGGGAUUUUUGUGCAAUGACUUUGAUCAAGAGUAAGCUAAGAAAUAAGAUGGGUGAUAGUCUUUUGGAUGAUUGUCUUAUCACAUUCAUUGAGAAAGAUAUUUUCUUUGAAGUGGAUGAAGAAGAUAUAAUUAAGACUUCAUAUCCAUUAGAAAUCGUAGGCUGGAGAAGAAGUAAUAUUUUAAUUUUCUUUGAACGUUAGGUCUGUAAGCUUCUUUUAAACUAUCUACAUUAUAAUUUAUGGACCUUUUAAUUUAACCGUUGAAUUCAUGAUAUUAUGAGAUUUUUUUAUCUAUGUUAUUAUUGUUUACCGAUUUAUUACCAAAUUAUUAGUUUGAUCUUACAAUAUUGUAUUUUGGAUGAUUGGCUCGGCAUACUCUAAGUUUAAAUCCUAGCUCCGCCACUGUUUGCACAUUAAUGUGGCUUAUAUGUGUGGAGUCACUUAACCUAUGCACUUGGACCUCCACUCCCUUAGGUUUUAUGAACCUAAUUUGACAGCCUGCUCGUCUUUUAUUUUCUACCAAUCAGCUAGGAACGAACAUGGUGAUGUUUGCAUCUCUGCCAUCAAUGGCUUACAUGUCAUUAUGUAUCACAUUAGCAAGUCUUGUUUUGUUAUUGGCUGGGAUGACGGGGACUCUAGCUGGAAUUGAAUCAAAGUGGUAGAUCACAGGGUAUUCAUUGCCAUGUAUUUCUGCAGUUGCAUGGACUUGCAUCAAACGGACCUUCCUACUUAUGUGAUUGUCCUAUAUGAUCUCCUUUGAUUUCAUUUGCACACUGUAAUCACAUUAGCUAGAACACUCGCUUUUUGCUUCAAAUUUGAAAUUCAUAUCAUGAUGGACUAGAACGCUGAAUUUCUUGAUUGCUGAGUUACUAAUCACAUUGUGGCGCUGCCAAAGAAGCUGGACUCUUCAUUGUUGUUGCCUUGUGGGCUGCCGUGUGCAAAGAACAAGAGCGCACGGUAUUAUAAUAGCAGAGCAGAACACAGACAAGCGACAAGGAGCGGAGCAGAGCAGAGCACAGCCAGGCACAAGCAGUAGAGUAGAGCAGAGCAACCGGGAGAGGAGAGGGCACAUAUGCAGAGUAGAGCAGAGCCAAGCGCAAGCAUUCAUGCACUCAAGCAUGCAGCAGAGGUGUAGCAAGGCAAGCACAAGCAGCAGAGCAGAGGGAAGGGAAGGCUGGGAGAUGAAUAGGCGAAUAGUUACCUGGACAGAGCAGAGGGAAUGGAGAUGAUGCAGAUGCUUCCGGAGACUCGAGAUUUGGAGAGGAACAAGGCCACGUUGUGAACAAGGUCUCCUUUCUCUUCUCUAUUUCCCGCGCAAGUACUUGUGCAUAGUGGCUGCCUCAUCCUCCAGGACGUCCACUUCAACCUGAGGCGGGUGCCACAGACAUCCUGGCUAUGCGACGGCUACCCCCAGCACACCCCCGGCGCCUAUGAACCAUGAUCCUAAUACUAUAAAUUGUCAACCUUGUAAUCUUAUUUCAAGCAUGCUCUCUAUGUCAACCUGUAAGGUUAACUUCGUUUUUCCUUUUCUGGGUAGGGGAGUGGAUAUUGCUGUUAUUUAUAUUAUGUUGAUAUUGGUUUCCACAUGUCAUUCACCCCAAAUGUGUUGCAAGGUUGAACCUAUCAUCGGAGGAAUUUUUUUCCCUUUACCUUUAUAUCACUACGCUCUGGUUAUGUAUGAAACACUUGUCUUCUUAAAAACCUUAAUUUAGAAACAAAUUUGAAACACUAUCUUCAUUUACAUCCUGUAUGUGUUUUCUACCUUUUGUCCUAUAUGAUCUGCUUUGAUUUGAUUUGUGCAUAGUUUUUUCAAUUCAGACCUGGUGAUUUCUGAGGUUCAUGUUGUGCUGAUAAGCAGCCUACUAUUCAGUAACACUUUCAUGUGGCAUGUUCAUGUUAGCUAGCUAGAAACACUGCUUUUAGCUUCAAAAUUCAAAUUCAUGACAUGAUGGACAUUGACAAUGAAUUUCUUGAUUGCCGAGCUAUGUACACUGUAAUUCAGACCUGGUGCUUUUAGUUUUUUUCUUGAUUGCCGAGCUAGAAACACUGUGCUUUUAGUUUUUUCAAUUCAGACCUGGUGAUUUCGGUUUUUUCAAUUCAGACCUGGUGAUUUCUGAGGUUCACGUGUCACACCGAUUUUAAGAACAAAAUCGAGUGCAUUAAAUAUACAUGUACGCUAGGAUCAGGUUACACACAUGUACGACAUAAGCGAAUAUCAAAGACAAUGCCAUAACGAAAUAAAGAGAGUAUUAAUCAUUAUUACAUGACCGAAAGUCUCAAAUAAACCACAAAAUCUAUUUAUUACAUAGCGGAACUUCUAAGAUAGCAACGUCUCCACAGGCAGCUGACUGAAGAACUGUAUGCCUAGAACUCUUCAAAAUCGUGCAGGUACUCCUCCAGAUUAGCUUGGUAUGAACAACGGUUUUGCAAGGGUGAGUACACUUAUGGUUGGUACUUAAUAAGUCGUGGGAAACAAUGUAGUGUAAGGCAAAUCAAGGUAUGGCUAAGGCUUAAACAGCAUCAGCUUUUAAUUUAGUUGGUCAAAUUUUAUUAGCAAUUAAUUAGACGUAAAUUUAUACCACCCGAAAUUAAACAAGAACAUGAAUAAAAUAAUAACAUAACCAUAAAUGAAAUGACAACAAUUUAAAUCCAUCUUUUCAUAGCAUUAUCAUGUGAGGGUCCAGUCCGUUCUUAACCGUGAGCACCGCUGAUCGAUCAGUUUUACACUCUGCAGAGGUUGUACAUCUUUACCCACAAGUCGCGUAAAAGUUCAAAAGAAUUUUGGACCCAACCAUGCGGUAUUUGCAAGGCACCAUACCACACUUCCAAGGUGUGAUUGCAUAUGAACGCUACGAGGCCUUUACAAAGAUUCAUUAGUAAGUGGUAACCCGCUAAGGUUUCGGUAUUUGGCGUGCACAACCUAUCACAGGCCGCUAAUGCAACGACUCAGUCCCCCCUCUUGCCUCAUCACGAGUAAGAUUACCCCAGACUAAGGUUUCUAAUUAUUCAGCCAAGAUCAGAACCAUUUAGUCUUGUGGUAGCACUGUUUUCCUGGGUGGUUCUCCAUGUUCCGAUUAAACAUAAUGGUCUUGUAUUAAUGGAAGGUAUAACAUAAAUAAUACCAAAUUAAUAAUAAUUCAGAUUAAAUCACCAUAACCAUAUUUGAGCACUAAGCAUGAGCUACCCAACAUAAAUUUAACCCGGUUGGUCAAGGCAAGGUAGAUAAAGUCUAGGAAAUUCUUAAUUGGGACCCAUCAAGUUUAAAUUAUACUUUGCAUGGUAUGUUGCAUAGAACAUGAAAGUAAAUGUGAAUAGGACUGAAAAGGAGUGAUUAGGGACACGACUUGCCUUUUUAACCUUGUUCUUGCUGUUCGUACUCUUCGAAAACUUUGAUCUUCAAAUCCCUUGAACUGCUGACCGUCUACACGCGUCACACGACCACAUACAAGCAAACAAAUAUAAUACAUAAGAAAACAGUACACCAAUCAUAAUUAAAUAGAAGAAACAAAUUUGAAAAGCUAUUCUACGCAUUAAAACGAAAACACGGAUACAAGGAACGUUAAAAACGGAGCUACAGUGCAAAAACUACGCUUAAAACAAGAUGCAGGGGUAUAACUACGAGAAACCAAACUUCCAGGGAUUUAAUUUUAAAUAAUUUUGAACUGCAGAAGGGGCAGCAGGGCAAAACGUAGAAAAUGCAGGGGCUUAAGCGCAAAAGCAUGGCUGCUGACUCAGCUGACUUGAUGUGGAUCGUCGGAUGGCGAUCCGGCGGCCGGCAGCUGCUGCGCUGACGUCAGCGACGGCGAGCGCCGGCGAAAAACGGCAGUUCGCCGGAAUCGCCCGGGAACGCGCGACUGGGUGCAGAUUUGAGCGAGGAUUAGACUAGCAGAUAGAAACGAGCGCAGUGAACUCAUUUGGGAUGCCUACGGCGAGGACUUGGCGACGGCAUCGGCUCCGGCGAGAACUUGCGGCAGGGAAACCAAAUAAAAUAAAAUAACACGGUUCAGAGAAGCGGCGCUGGAGGAACGCGAGCGAUUUUGCGUGCGAGCGGAAGAAAACACUGCGAGGAAGAUGACUGCGGGCCCUGCUUGUCUGCGGCAGGAGGAGAGCUGCGUGCGAGAAGAACCUGGCCACGAUCUGGGCCGUUGCCUUCGAUCUGGGCCGAGGCAAGCUAGCUGGCCCGCUGCUGCGGAAAGGUGCUGGGCCACGGGCGGAGCACAGCGUCGGGCCAGAAAGGAGAUGGCUGCUGCGAGGAAACAAAAGAAAAUGAACUGGGCUGCGACAGAGGAAAACUGGGCGUCGGCCAGAAAGAAGCUGCGUGCAGCUUGCUCUUGUUUCCGAACUAGAAACAGGAACUGACGGAAAGACAGAAAUCAAUUGGAGACUGAAACUGACGCCCCAGACUCUGAACUUCGAAAAAACAGGACAACCAGCCAACUGACAGAAAAAAAAAAGCUUAACAACCCAAAAGCAGUACACAACCACGAAACCAGGCCACAAGACUGAAAAAGCUUGAUAGGAACAUCUGGCGACUGAACCAAAAAACUACAGAACUGCAACUGAAGAACUAGAGAACAGAUAAAUAACUGAUUGAACUCUGAAACUGAAACACCAAAGAGCAGGAAGCUGACUGACGGAAAAUGCAAAACAGCAACCCAAGGUGAAACACAAAUUCUUCUUCAAGCAUUCAAACAAAGAGAUAUGCAACAGCAUGAAUGCUCAAUAAAAUCCUAUAUUUCAUUAAUUAAUUAGAAAAAAUGCUCAAAUGCCUAGAAAAAUGCAAAAGUGACCUUAUAUGCCUUAAACAAGCAAAUUCGUUUCUAGCGAUUUUUGGUAAAAUGCAAAAUUAGAGAUUUUGGGUGUUACAUCAUGUUGUGCUGAUAAGCAGCCUACUAUUCAGUAACACUUUCAUGUGGCAUGUUCAUGUUAGCUAGCUAGAAACACUGUGCUUUUAGCUUCAAAAUUAAAUUCAUGACAUGAUGGACAUUGACAAUGAAUUUCUUGAUUGCCGAGCUAUGUACACUGUAAUCACAUUGUGGGGCUGAUAAAAUAAGCAGCGUUGAGACACAUAACAAUUGAAUCUUAAGCUUCACACAGAAUCUGGACCAGUCAUCCUCAUUCCUGUCAUGCUGGAAAUGUCUUUGAUACAUUUCAAUCACAGGCAAUUGAAUUCGUACUGGGGAGGAUGGCAAUGGUGCAUGAAGAGAGAUCAAUGUGGCAAAUCUCACAUUGUUCAUUACCAGGUAUCUCCGAUUUCUGGUUAUUUUAAAUUUACCUUGACAUGUGACUUAUUGAGGUAUUGUAUUUCAUCUAAUGGUAGUUCUGAAUUUAUGGUAACCUUGGAUGGGGUUUGUCACUUUAUACACGCACGGACUUACAAAGGACAGCAAAUGAGUAUAUUUAGAGGGCUCCUGUCCAACCAUGGACUAUACUUAUGUACCCUUUUUUGACAUGGUAAUUUGAGGUUAAUGGAAAAGUAGCGAUAGUCGCCUCCAGCGAAGCUACCUUCUUCGAAAGCUCCGAGGCUGCUUUCUCGCUCUUAGCAAGCCGAUCCCUCGUAAUCAUCGAAGAGUAAGAGACCUACAGAUUUUAAAAACCAAGUUACCAAAAAUAACGAAGUAAAAGACAACACUCGCAAGACAAACCACCAAACUAUCUCAUAAUUGUACCUUCUUUACGAGGUUCGCCUCCAAGUUAAAGAGCUCUUCCAAGAUCAUUGACUUCACAGCUUGCUGAAAAUCUAUGCGCCAAAGGAUAUAGUCGUAAGCAUAAAAUAAAAAUUGGUAAAAACCAAGGACAGCAAAGCCAUCUACAAGCUGUUCUUACCCUCAUACUUUCGCACCUCAACGGCGAUCGGAACAACCUUCUCUCUAGCCUCGCCCUUAGACGCCACCACAAUCUUCCCGCCACACAAAUCCACAACCCCUCCUUUACCUUUGCCCUCUCCCGAAGUCGUCGUGCCCGCCUUCUCCACCCUUUUUGAACCGCCAACAUCUGCAUAGCGCUCGCAACCUUCACCUUCAGCCCCCCAGACCAAAGACAGGUUGUGAGGAUUAUAAACCCUACCUUCGGCGCAUGUAGCUAGAAUCUCCGUGCGCCCGCUCAAGCCCAGACACUCAUUCAGUCCCUGAAGCCCCGCCGGCAACCUCUCACCUACAUCAUAACAUUCAACUUUUAGCCUCACAUGAUCCUCACAACUAACCUUACCAACGCCCCCCAUAGUUUCUUCCAAGUCCUUCAAAAAUUUCGUUGAGGCCUCACCACAAUCAAAGAACCGUAGCAUCGAUAGAAACACCUCUACAUGCUUACCAGAUCUCACAGCUUCGGCACACCCACCCUUUGGAUCAGAUGAGAACGCAUCCACAAGCUUCGCCUUUUCGGUGGCAAACCCCCUCUCAAGUUUCCCAACAUCAGUCAAGAGAUGUUGCGCGCUCUUAAACUUCGAGCUUAUGGAAGGCACCGUGAUCUUGGUACCAGCUGCCGAAGACGCGUCAACCUUGGCACCCGUAACAGUAACAGGAGCAAAUCGAGGUUUCUUGGCGCCUCUUUUGAUCCGUGCGGCGGGCCCGGUGGAUGAAGGUGCAAGAGCUGGAACCUCCUUAGGAGGGCGCAUAGAGACAGGAACAACAUAUGCCGGAUUGCUCAAGUCGCCAGACGAAGCUGUCGACCACGAUGGCAACAUAGCAGACGAAGCCCCCGCGGUCAUUUCCUUCCUUUUUUGCGCCUCCAAAUUCAAGGUCUUUUGCUUCGCCUUAGCGGUCACUUGCAAUUCAAUAGUGAGCUUCACCAUGGGUACGAAGUCAAAUUUUGCCUUUUUCCUCUGCUCAAGACUAGCACCGCGACGGCGCCUCUUGCCCGUAACUUUGGGGUGAGGCAGAACCACAAUAUCAUACAAGUCAAAAAUCUAAGAUGAUGACAUUCCAUUUGUAUCCAUGAUUUAUAUUGUGUUCCUUGAAUAUCCAUUAAAGUCUACUUGAAUUGAUUUGCAAUUAUGUGAAUUGUAUGUGAAACUCUUUCCUUGUAUGGUUAUUCUAAAGUUGUCCCUAGUCGGAGUUCAUGUGAGGACACAUGAAUAUUAGACUAGCACAUGUAUUAGUUGAUGACUAUGUUUCACAAGUCAUGGACAUGAAGAUGUGGAACUAAUAAUGUGGGCACAUGUGGAGACACGUGCUAGGACUGACCCAACACGAGAAGUAGUUCUCUCUUUAUACAACAUAUACGCUUUGUCCUUAGACCUGAGAUUGUCGCAUGUACUCAAGAUGUGGAUCGACUUACUUAGGGGCUAUCAAAUUCUACGCCGUAACAGGGUAGUUAUAAAGGUAGCUUUCGGGUUUGUCAAGAAGCAUGCUAUGAGACAUGGUCAAUCAAGAUGGGAUUUGCCCCUCUCUGAUUGAGAGUGAUAUCUCUGGGCCCCUCGAGUGAUCGGAUCCGAAAAUGCAUGGCCAUGCUACAUACGAUUAAGAGUUAGCCUACAAAAGGAUUCCGAAUCAUAGGAUCGAGAAAGAGCGGUCGGCUUGAAGCUAGACCAAAUAUCGUGAGGCAAAGGGAAUAGCAUGUAUAUAAUGUUGUGAUGGUUCGUCUGAUAUGAUCUUCGUGUGCGUAUAGGAGUUGGCACGUCUUGCUAGAGGUCGCUACCGACUAUUGGGCCGAGUAGGAGUACUCAGGCCAUGUCUAUACGUAUCCGAACCCAUAGGGUCACACACUUAAGGGGCUGGAAGCCCAAUUCGGAUGUGAUCCGAAUUGGAUUAGGUUUAGAAGUACUAAUGGGCCUUGGACCUAGAGGCCCGUUAGGAACCUCUAUAAAUAGAGGGGUGGGGGCGCCCUAGGGUUUACACCUUUUUGGUGAAACACAUCUGCCGCGCCUCCCACGCCUUCGCCUGUUGCAACUCGCGGACCUAGCAGUCCGGCUUGCGACGCUUCCUCCCUGCACGUGUGGAUACCUUGGAAGUGUUGCUCCUGCAGCACUUGGACGAGCCGCCAACGAGCCACGACGAGCCACGAUGAGCCGACGAUGAGCCGCGGCACGAGGGGGAUCUUGCUGCACGUGGACGAGCUGCUGAGGAGCUGCUGGACGUCGAUGUGUUCGACUACGUACGACUACGCUGAUCGACUUCGCUGCAUCAACGCGAAUCUACAUCUUCCGCAUCAUUGCAUCGAGUGGUAAUCCCGUGAUCCUGAUACGGCAGUUUUCCUAGUUUACGCGGUAGAAAAUUUUGUUUUGUGCUAGUGUAGCCUAACUCAUAUCCCAACAACGUGUGCUAUAGGUCACGCAAGCCUGAAAAUGGCCACACCGGACACCGGGUACGAAAACAUGGGGGAUGGACCGAACAUUUGAAAAUGGCCUCCAUAUGUGUUUUCGGCUAUGAAAAUGUGUGUUAUAGGUCACAGAAGCUUGAAAACGGCCGCACCAGCCACUAGGGACGAAAACGUGGGGGAUGGACCAAAGACAUAAAAAAUAGCCUCCAGACGCGUGUUCGGCCAUGAAAACGUGUGGUAUAGGUCCUGGAAGGCCAAAAACAGCUACACCGGCCACCUGGGACGAAAAAGUUUGUGUAAGACCGAACACUUGAAAAUAGCCUCUGGACGCGUGUUCGGCUAUGAAAAGGUGUGUUAUAGGUCACACGAGCCCCAAAACAACCACAGCGAACACCAGCUACAAAAACAUGGGGGAUGGAUCGAAUAAUUGAAAAUGGCCUCCAGACGUUUGUUCGGCCAUGAAAUCGUGCGUUAUAGGUCGCGGGAGCCCGAAAACGGCCACACCGGCCACCGGGAAUGAAAAUGUGGGGGAUGGACCGAACAAUUAAAAAUGGCCUCCGGAUGUGUGUUCGGCCAUGAAAACGUAUGUUAUAGGUCACGGGAGCAUGAAAACGGCCGCACUGGCCACUGGGGACGAAACGUGGGGGAUGGACCGAAGACGUGAAAAUAGCCUCCAGACGCAUGUUCGGCCAUGAAAAUGUGUGCUAUAGGUCAUGCAAGGCCAAAAACAGCUGCACCAGCAACCGGGGACGAAACCAUGGCUGUCAAACCGAACGCUUGAAAAUCGCCUUCGGACGCGUGUUCGGAUAUGAAAACAUGUGUUGUAGGUCACGCGUGCCCGAAAACGUCCACAACGGACACCGGGUACAAAAACGUGGGGGAUGGAUCGAAUAACUGAAAAUGACCUCCGAACGCGUGUUCGGCCAUGAAAACGUGUGUUAUAGGUUGCGGGAGCCCAAAAAUGGCCACACCGGCCACCGAGGAUCAAAACGUGGGGGAUUGACCGAACAAUUAAAAAUGGCCUCCGAUUGUAUGUUCGGCCAUGAAAACGUGUGUUAUAGGUCAUGGGGGCCCAAAAAUGGCCGCACCAGCCACCAAGGACGAAAAUAUGGGAGAUGGACCAAAGACAUGAAAAUGGCCUCCAGAUGCAUGUUUGGACAAAAGUGUGUGCUAUAUGUCGUGCAAGGCCAAAAACAGCUACACCAGCCACCGGGACAAAAACGUGGGUGUUUGACUAAACAAGUGAAAAUGGCCUCCGGAAGCAUGUACGGCUAUGAAAAUGUGUGCUAUAGGUAAUGGAAGGCUAACAAAAGCUACACCGGCCACCGGGGACAAAAUCAUGGGUGUCAGACUGAACACUUCAAAAUGGCCUCCGGACGCGUGUCCGGCUAUCAAAACGUGUGUUAUAGGUCAUGCGAGCCCGAAAACAACCACACUGAACACCGGGUACAGAAACAUGGGGGAUGGACUGAAUAACUGAAAAUGGCCUCUAGACGCGUGUUCGGUCAUGAAAACAUGUGUUGUAGGAUGCGGGAGCCCGAAAACGGCCACACCGGCCACCAGGGCAUGGACCAAACAAUUGAAAAUGGCCUCCGGAUGUGUGUUCGGCCAUGAAAACGUGUGUUAUAGGUCACGGGAGCCCAAAAAUAGCCGCACCGACCACUGGGGAUGAAAUCGUGGGGGAUGGACCGAAGAUGUGAAAAUGGCCUCCAGAUGCGUGUUCGGCCAUGAAAACGUGCGCUAUAAGUCAUGUAAGGCUAAAAAUUGCUACACCGGGACUAAAGCAUCCCCCAUGAGUUACAAUAAAAGGAUUGUAUCCUCUACUCAGUCGGAUGUACUGUGUAGGUGAGAUGGUAAGGAAGCUAUGCGCGAGGUUUGAGGUUGUGGGUUGAAAUCCUACGCACCGCGCGCACACGCGCAUAUUUUGUGUGAAAAAUCAUGUGACUUGUGAUCGGCCAAGGAGAAGUGGGUGCAGCUGUGGCUUAAGUGGCUGAGGCACGCUGCCAUAGACAUCUCCGAUUUGCUCGAAGACUACCAAGACACUAGCAAUAACAAGAACUACUGCUCUUCCUAGCAGACUCUUUACAACCACUUUAAAGCUGUGCAUUUCUCAAUGUAAUUUCGUAGAAGGCAAUCGAUCCAACCAAGCGACUAAAUCAUUUGUUCUUGCCAAUGAUGUACAUCAGGUUUUCUAUAUGAAGGACAUGUCUAGCAAACCUAAGAUUUUAGAAGAAAAAGAAAAAUUAUGGGAGUCAAUAAUAAAUCAGGCCAAUCAGGAGAUUAUAGUAAGCUCGAUGGUAUGCCUCCAUUCGAUGUCGAAGUUGGCCCAAGCAUCAUGUUAGCCAAAGAUCAAAUGUUCGUGCAUUGCUACGGUAAAGAUCAAUUGUGUCUUUUAAACCCAUGGAAUUUUUUAUCUAUGUUUUUAUUACACUUAAUGGAUGUCUACACAUUUGCUAGAAAAUCAAAAUAAUUUUGACUUAAUUAUUUCUUUCAACUCAAAUACUCAUUAAAUUUCUACCUUUUUAUUUAAGCAAGAGAGUUGCUCAAAAAAUGGAUACGUAACCAUGUUGUAUCAUACAAAGCAACCACAUUUCACAUAUAGUCUGGCUUAGCAAACACCAUUGUUGUCUUAACAUAGUGUUCAUGAGUUAGUAGACAUGGAUCUAUUUCUAAUUGCAAGUAGUGCAGCGUACAACCAGCCUGCACCGCCGCAGCUCAAUAUGCGAUAAUUUUUUAUCUUCCCAUGUAAUUUUUCUACUCUAGUACAUAUUGAACUCCACAUAAAUGUCAUGUUCUUUCACGCCACAGACGGUUUCUAAAGUUUGGAACUAAAUAGAUAGCCAAAAAUUUUAAAAAAAUAUUUAUAUGGAUACAUGUAUGUUCUUUGCAAACUAACAAUAUUGUUUACAAUAUCAAAAGGAAUAUGGCUAUGAUCAUUGCCGCAUAUGGCAGGUGAUGGUAGAUGCCGUAUGGGGUUUCUUUAACUUAAUUGUAUAAUAAGCUGAAAUACAUUUUCUAUUUGCAAAUGAAUCAUAGCUGAAAGUGGUGGGAUUGUAGAACCGCCGGCCAUCGUGUCCUUGUAGGACCGCUGCACGAGCCUGUGAGCCACCAGCCACCAUGCGCCCAAGGGCCAUCACCACGCCAUAAGAGGAUGCUGUCUACCCGGUUUCGCGCGCCUGUGCUAGCUGCCUGAACCUGGGCCGCCGCCGGUCGCCUGCCCAGCCGCGCGUUGCGCCAGGGUUUUGCUGGUGACGACCAUGGCCUUCGCGAUCAAAUUAAAAAGUUAUCAACUGCAAAGUAUUAGGUCUCGUUGAGCUCUACAAUUUUGAUAUAAAGUUUCUAUUCAUCCGAGAUCAAAUAAAAAAUUUGAUACUCAAAGCAUAAAUCCAUUAAUCUAGUCUUGCUAAUCCUUACCACCAAAUAAAAAACUAGCAUGUGUUGUGUGUUUGUGACCCUAAACGAUCACAAAUGAAUAACUUAUGGGCCUUGCUAGCGCCCGGAUGUCCAGGCCGGGGCACUAGCAUCAGACCCACGAGUAGCCGUCCGAUCAGGUUCGACACCACUUCAGGAUCUGGCUUAAAAAGAAGUCCCACCGAAACAUUGUUCCAUGUUGCAUGAAGCAACCCACUACCGUCGCCAGGUCUAGAGCAAGCACCACCUUCAAAUGUGCUGCUCACCCUAGCUAAAUAGGGGCAUUAAAAUAUUUCUCGCAUAUCCUUCUCAAAUUAAACAAAAUCGCAACAUCUGAAAAUUUUUACAGAAAACCAUGAAACAUAUCGAUUAGAUAGAUGUAACAAGAUGGAAUAUGGUAUAUGCAACAUAUAGGUUCCGAAAAGCAGAUGAAAUAUUAUGUAAUGAUUCUUGAAACAGUCAAGAAAAAUAGAUGUAACAUCUAAAAUUAAGAAAAGAAGCUUUAUGCAAAUUGCAAAAAGCUGAAACAAGUGGUUGAAACAUUUCAAAUCACCAAAUGCCACAUUUGAAAUGACCAGAUGAAACAUCACGAAAUCAAUUGCAACAGUUGAAGAUGAAAACAUUCAAAUGCCUUGCCUUUCUCCAAAUUUGACCCUCCAAGCAUGAGUCCAGCCAUUUGCACAUUAGACCCUUGGGAGGAGCUCACCGGAGAACAACAAGACCGUGUUAUCCAACAAUUUUCAGAUCAAAUUGCAACAUAAAGAACAAAGCAUUGCAACAUCUGGCAUCACGAGCUACAACAGCAACCAGUUAGGAUCAGGAGAAAGAGGGCAAACACAAGCCUAACAAUGAGUUAUAUCCGGUUUAAACAAGGAUAAAAAUGAGUGUAUUUUACACUCAUCAUGUUGUCUUUUCGCAGCUGUACCGCCUUUAGCGUGUUGUAUUGUUCCUAACACCAAGUCUCCGAGGCCCGAAAAAAUAAGGAAAGUGGUAGCAGCUCAGAAAUCGACUAAGUUUCUUUCCCCCUUUGGCUUUCCUACUAGGAUUCGGAAUCCUCUUUCGUAUGACAAUCUUAAUGAUCUCCCAUAGUCCAAAACUCACAAAAACAUCAAAAAUCCACCGAGAAUAAAUUAAGUAAAAAAACAUGCACACACAGAUAAUAAUAGUAAUCAUGUUUCAUUAUGAUUGCUAAGGUCAGACACAAUACAUAAACAUAUUAGACUGAGUGACCCACCUCACCUCAGAGUAUGCACCAUGUCUGAGUGACCCACCUCACCUUGCCAGGACACUGGUCCUGCCCUCGUGGUUCACGCGCCCUCGUGGUUCAGCAGUGGUCAGUACACAAAUCUAGCUGCCAGUCGGAUCCAAGGGCAGGCAUUUGCAUUGUGGUUGUGUUUGAACAUGGAGAUGUCAUUAUUAUUGUCAGGCACCAUACAUCCUCUCUCAGUUUCACUCCGCCUCACACACGGAUAGCACACCAGGGACCCGACACCAUGCAUGCCGAUUUCAUAUUAUUAAUAUUUAAUUUUUUUAAUGGUUGUUGAAACUAUAUUGUUGAUAUUUUUAUACAUAAUUUACGACCUAAUUUGGAUAUAUUUUUGAAAUAUUCCGAAAUCUUAAAUUCACACGUCUAGAGAUACAGUUAGUCCAAUCUGAUGUUUCCGAUUAUAAAAAUGAACAUAAAGAGAUAGGAAGCGAGAGACGUGAGGGGGAAAGUUAAAUUAGGGCCUAAGGGGUGAAGUUAGGGUUCCAGGUGAGCUGUCAUCACUACGUGUUUUUAAUCGAAAUUGGAAUGUCAGCAAUCGUCAGAUCUUGAGCCAACAGUUGAGACUGCCUCGGAAUGGUAAUUAGGUCUGCGCGAGCUUGCAUUGUGGCCUUCCUUGAAACCUUGGACAUAGGUGUUAUAUUAUUAUGUUCUUGCCAGCACACAGCAGUGAAGGACGACACAGUUGAGAUGUGCAUCACAUUUUCUAUAUGAAGGAUAUGUUUAGCAAACCUAAGAUUUUAGAAUAAAAAGAAAAAUCAUGGGAGCCAAAGCGCCACAUAGUUCUUCCAGGUAAAAAAAAAUCAUCCACUGGACCAGCACAUAGUAACGAUCCAAAAAGUCCAUAUUAAGAUUUUUUGAUAGCAGAAAAAACAUAAAAUGUCUAAUAUUUGUAGUAUUAAAAGGAAAAAUAAUAUAUUCACGUGACCUUUUUCCCGUAGCAAGGCACCGGUACGUGGUCAGACUUAAUGCACGAUGCCUAAGCAUCCAUUGGGCCUACCCUCGUGUGGAUCACGCGCAACAGGACACGGCUCACAAGCUAUGAUGUGCAGCAGUCGCUCAGAUGGCUGAAAGGUACCCUUAAUUUGAAUGGUACCAUAUAUAUAUAUAUAUAUAUAUAUAUAGUAAACAAGACAAACCACCGUUGAUACUACUUUGCACUACUUGAUACAUAUAUCUCCACCAAAAGCGAGGCACGUGGGGAGGAGAGAUAUGUGGUUGAUGGUGCGGGCACGUGGCGAGUGCACCGUACGAAAAUUUUGCUCGUGUCGGACGACUGAUGUGAAGCAUUACCCAAUCUUAAUUAUCUCCCAUAAUCCAAAACUCACAAAAACAUCAAAAAUCCGCCGAGAAUAAAUUAAGUAAACCAUGCACACACAGAUAAUAAAAUUGCUAAUAAGGCCAGAGACAAUACAUAAACAUAUUAGACUGUUCAUGACACAUAUCACGGUGGAUAGUGUCUGUGUCCUUAUUACAAGCAAUGAGAGAUGCUUGUCACCACACACACGCGCACAGAUGCACAACAUACAUAUAGUUGAGACCAACAGAUGGAUCAACUAGAGGUCACCCCAUAUGGUGAACAAUUUAUUGGAGAUAAACAUUAACAUAACUUGGCCAUAGCUUGAAGCAUAGCAACAUAUGCCUAUGAACGGCGUUCAUGCUAUCAUUUUAGGCUUGUCCGCUUCUUCCAUCUUAGCAAGCACUUCCAUUUCUACCAUCUUAGAAGCAACUGUCAAAUUGAGAUAUGGAAAUCCCAUUAGCGCAUGAGUUAAUUUUGCAGUGAAAAUAGAGUACAAGAUAUCUUCAUGAUGUAAGUAACAUGCCUGAAGUUGUGAGAUGGGAAGUGAAGUCAACAAAUUACAUUAACGGAAAUGCAUGGAAGGCCACACAUACGUAUUAGUCCAUGAUAUGCUACAAAGCUUGUAUGUACAUAUAGCAAAUUAAAUGCAUUAAUUGAAUAGAGUGAGUUUAGUGAAUUUACCAGAAUCGUCCAGAAAACAUGGGAAACAGCAAGUGUUCUUGCAGACUGCGUCGGUGCCACCCACAGCAAUACAACCAAAACAACAUGCUUUUGCCCGAGCGGCUGCGCAGCAGCCGCACUCUGCCGCGGUGGCCGAGUUAGCAUUGAGGCUCAAGAUGACCAGGCACAUGAUCACCAUCAAAGCGGUGGUAGUCCUCUUUCCCUCCAUUGCCUCCUCUUGCUGCUACCUUCCUUGGUUACCUAGCUAAGUUUAUUGGUUUUGUGUUGAGAGGUGAUUCUUGCAUUGAAUGGACGUUGCCGCGGCUGCAAUUUAUAGGCAGCUGCGCUAUGUGAUGAUAUGGACAAGGUGCAAAUGGGUGGUCCUGAUAUGGAUAAGGUGCAUGCGAAUGGCUGUCUACUUGUAUAGUGGCGCUCCAAUGUACAUACGUAUGUAUCUUAUGCAUGUAUACAGUUGAUGGAUGUACAUGUUUGUUGCACAAAUUAUUCUGAACCAACUCUUCAUAACAGGUCUUUGUUACCAAGUAAUUUUACUUUUGCACGUUUCAGCCGAGAGGCAGAAGAGAAUAUUUUACAGAGAGGGCAGAGAAGGAGGUUGGCGGAGGCGCCGUGGUAGGGUUCCCCGUGUCGCCAAGAUUUUUGCAUUUUAGAUGUGUGUAUUGAUCACUUCGUCGUGCUCGCGGGGCCCAACUCCAGGUUGUACCCCAGCAGACCACGUUCUGUUUCUCUGCCUCCAAUGAGCAUGCAUGCCUCCACAAGGACCACAAGACUUAGUAAAAAAGCUAAACUUUGCAACACGAUGUAUACAGAACGUUUUGAAAUGUACUCUCGUUAGGCAUUCACCUCCUUAACAAUCACUGCGACUGUAAAAGAGGUACAUCGACGCUAGCUAAAUAAACCACUAUAAGAUUUAGCAAGAGAUCAUUUUAUACAAUCCUGUAACGAAACAAUUUGACAAUUAUAGUGUCCAUAUAUUUUGACAAAAAAACGUUUAAAUUAUAUAAGGAGGUGGGCCCGAAAACGGUUGGAUUACAUCGAGAACGUUUUGAAACAGUUGGCGGAGCAGGAUUCUGGCGUGGAGCAUCUACAUUGUCGCGCGCGCGGACUGCCGGAGUAGGCACGCUCGACUUGUCCCAUCGCCAGCUAAAUGAUUUAGUACCGGAUGGUCUCUAGUACCGGUUGGAGCUACCGUCCACCAGGAGCUUUUCUAGUUUGGAACUGGUACUAAUGCUAAUAUUAGUAUCAGGUCAAAAACAAUCGGUACUAAGGCUAGGGAUGACACGUCAUUUUUCUAGUAGUGUGUGCAAUUGGUUUUGUAAUUAGUCUAUAUUUAAUACUUCUAAUUAGUAUCUACACAUUUUAUGUGACAGGGACUGAACUUUAGUCCGUGGAACCAAACACCCCAUAAGUAUGUUUGGUGCUGUAAGGAUUUCGGUUUUAUUUAAUUUCCUAGGCAUUUAAAUUUCUUUCUAAAAUAAGUUAAUGAAUCAUAGGAUCUCAUUGUUGUAUUCAAGCUGGUGCAUUGAUUUUGCCUAUAAAACCCGCCGCGGUCUUCGCAGCCCCCAUCAAACCCUAGCGCCCUUGCCACAAGCUCAGCACCGCUGCCGCCCGAGCUCGAGCACUAGCACCCACCCAUCGCCGUUGCCUUCCCGUCGAUGGGAUCACCGCCCGGAGCUUCGCAUCGUGGUAAGGAAGCCGCCCGUGAAGAUCCCAUGUGCUCCUAUGCCCUCUACCGCGUCCCCGAGUUCCCGGAGUUGCUAGUCUCCCACCGAGCCGACUCUCCGAGCUUCACGUCACUGGUGCCGCUCCGAAGACCUAGUUCGGUUCGCCAUGCACCUCGCUUCAUCCUGAGCUAAACCCCAUAAUGAAUGGUGGUCGGAUGCUCGCCGCCACGGCGCGUCGUCUUUUCUGUCGCCCGUGCAUUGCCUAUCCCCUUCCAGCCGAUUGCAGCUGUCCGAUCGCAAACCGGUGGCCCUGAUCGGAUACCAAGGUCAAUACCGGUCGAACCGAGCCGUGCGCUGCUUUUGCAAGAAGGCCCCUGUUUUUCUCUCUUUUUGCACCUGAGGUCCUACGCAGUUCAAAAGUAAUAAGAUCUAGGUCCUUUUUCUUUUGUUUUAGCCCGUGUUCUUUUAUAAAAUCCCGCCCACUAUUCUGUUUGGUCUUUUGACGCGUUAGACCUUCUUUUUAUAUGUUUAAUUAGGUUUUAGGUCUCGAUUUCUUUAAGUUUAGCCCUUGAAAGUUUAGUUCUCUCGCAGUUAAGCCCCUGAACCUUGUUUAGCUCAUAUCUUAAGCGUUUUAAAUCCGUUUUAACAGAUUCUUGCGCCUAUAAGUUCAUGUUGACGCAUAGAUUAGUUGACUUAUACGAACCUUGCUGAUUCAGCUCCUUGAUUGUGCUUCAGAUCUCGCUAGGGAAGAAUAAUGGAUGGGCUUUGGUUGAGCUUGUAGAUCGACUUGCAGUUGCAGUGAAUGAGCAGAGGAUUGGCAGUGAAUAAGAUCAGGCCGCUGCCCUGCUUGGUAGGGAAAAUAUCUGCUUGCUACCAAGGCCUGUGACGCAUGGACCCCAUUGAGAGUGCAUUAUUGACAAGGACUUAAAGCCAAGGGCUCCACACCUGUCAUUGAUCAGCUGUCUGCUGGGCGCUGCAAGGAGGUAGUGCAUGUUUGACAUAAAGAAGCAGGUGGCCCAGGAUUUACGAAAAAUAAGGAUCUAUUUGAUACCCUUGCUUAUAUUUAGGGGCUAAAAGUUGCUUAUUUGAAGUUGCUUAUUUUUAAUCCUAGCUGUUUGAUUGCAUGGGCUAAAGAGCAUUGAAUGAGGUGGAUAUUGUCAUGUUUGCCUCUAAUGAUUGCUUCCCAUCACAUUUCUCCCCCCUCAUUCAACGAGGGAAGGAGGUGUAAAGUGCACCUUUUAGCCCCGAUAAGUAACCCUUGUGUUGUUUACGGGCUGAACAUAAGUAGCUAAAGUUUAGCUCCAAUAAACAAGAGUGUUUGGUAUUUUUGGGGUUAAAAGGGGCUAAACUUUAGCUGCUUAUGCAUAAGCAAGGCCAUCCAAAUAGGCCCUAAGUAUGUUUGGCGUUGUAAGUAGGUUUUAUUUAAUUUCCUAGGCAUUUAAAUUUCUUUCUAAAAUAAGUUAAUGAAUCAUAGGAGUUCAUUGUUGCAUUCACGCUGGUGCAUUGAUUUUGCCUACAAAACCUGCUGCCGUUUCCGCAGCUCCCAUCAAACCCUAGCACCCCCGCCACGAGCUCCAGCGCCGCUGCCGCCCGAGCUUGAGCACUAGCGCACACCCAUCGCCGUCGCCUUCCUAUCAAUGGGAUCACCGCCCGGAGCCCGUGUCAUGGUAAAGAAGCCGCCCGUGAAGAUCCCGUCCACUCUCGUGCCCUCUACCGCGUCCUCGAGUUCACCGGAGUUGCCAGUCUGCCACCCAGCCGCCUCUCCGAGCUUCAUGUUGUCGUUGCCACUCUAGCUGCCUCUCUGAAGACCUAGAUCGGUUUGCCGUGCACCCCGCUUCAUCCUGAGUUAAACCCCAUCAUGCCACGUCAUAGUAAGGAAGCUGCUCAUGAAGAUCCCGUGCGCUCCCGUGCCCUCUACCGCGUCCCCAAGUUCACUGGAGUUGCUAGUCCACCACCGAGCCGCCUCUCCGAGCUUCACUUCACAGUCGCUGCUCCAGCCACCACUCUGAAGACCUAGAUCAGUUCGCUGUGCACCCCACCUCAUCCUGAGCUAAACCCCAUGACGAACUGUGGUCGGAUGCUCAUUUUCGAGUGAAUUCCGGCGAGAUGGUCGCCCGCCGCCGCCAUCUCCAUCGCCCAUGCACCGCCUGUCCCCUUCCAGCCGAUGUCCGAUUGCAAACCGAUAGCCGAAAUCGGAUGUGGUCACCAGGAUUAAUACCAGUCAAACUAAGCCACGCGUGCCGCUUUUGCAAGAAGGCCCCUAUUUUUCCCUCUUUUUGCACUUGAGGUCCUAUGCAGUUCAAAAGUAAUUAGAUCAAGGUCCUUUUUCUUAUGUUUUAGCCCUAUUCUUUCAUAAAAUCCCGGCUGCCAUCCUGUUUGAAAUAGAUACGGUUAUAGAUAUGCAAACAUCUGCAUAUUUCCAACCGUAUCUCUUUCGAACGGGAGACGCCUAACUAGGUUACGUGACAUACGAACAUCAUACGGAUAGAGAGGGGUAGGAUGUCUCACCUUGCUAUCCUACAAAGUGACGACUCGAGGACAGUAAUGUAGCCUCUCCUUCAAAAAAAGAACAUACUACUAUCAAGUUAAAUUUUUGACAGCACCUCCCCUGCACGUGGAGGUUUCCAUAACCUGCAUCAAAUAAAACGGCACGAUGGCUGACAACCACAUCUACAGCACCAGAAUGGCACGAUGGCCGACUUCCACAUAAAGUUCUUAUACCUUAGAUUGCCAAGUCAAACAUCCUUUUCUAAUUUCUAAAACAAAAGCCCUCCCACCUCUCUAUCUUAUACUUUCCUAUUUACUAAUUGCUUUUGUAAUUUCUAAUUUCUAUUUCAUCCUACCACCUCUGUACCCUUUUCUCAUUUCUAAUUCCAAUUUUCUAACUUGAAGAGCAAAGAUUGAUUACUAGGAGGGGUGAGGGACGCCGGCCUAGAGAGGCGAGGGGACGUCCGGCGGCGGCGGGUGCGUCGGGGGUAGGAUGCCAGGGGCGGCUGCAGGGGCGCCGGGUUGGGGGCGGCCGGGAUCGAGGGCACCAGUAGCGGGGGCACCGGGCCGGGGGCGGCCGGCGGGGCGGGACGCCAGGGCCGGGGCGACGGGCGCCGGUGGCGAGGCCGCCCGGCCGGUGGUGGCCGGCGUGGCGCCUGGGCCGGGGGGGGGGGGCGGGCGGGGUGCGGCGCGGCGCGCCGGGGCAGGGCGCCGAGGCUGGGUGGUGGGGUACGGGGCGGCGGGCGGGGGGUGGGGGGAGGGUCGGCGGCGGGGCGCGGGGGCGGCCAGCGGCGACGGCGGAGGGCGUCGGUGGUGUUUCGGAAGUGAUACGGAGGGGGUAGAGAGAUUCGUUUUCGCGGCUGAGUGUUCGAGUCAGAAGGCCGUGCGGCUUAAGUCAGGUGGUUUGCCGAGUGCGCGCGAUCUGGCACUCGGCAAAGUCAGAAGUUUUGCCGAGUGUCAGAUCGCGGGCACUCGGCAACUGCAGCUUUUGUCGAGUGCCCUGGAUUCGGCACUCGGCAAAGUGAAGUUUUAAUUUUUUUUAAAAAAAUUUAAUCGGAACACGGGCGUGCCAGCGGGCCCGUGACAUACUUUGCCGAGUGUGUAGCAAAAACACUCGGCAAAAUAUUAUCUUUACCGAGUGUUUUCGCUAGGCACUCGGCAAAGUACACUUAUAUUUCAUGUACACUUUUUCAAUAACGUGUUUUACUAACCUUUUUCUGAUAUACUUGGGAAAAACCUUAUCAAAUUCACUCAACAAUGGAUAUAUGGUUUUUCUACUGACAUUAUUCCAUUAUUUCAUUCAGUUAUAGCUCAAAUUGAAUUUAUAUCUAUUAAAAAUCAAUAAUUGCAUUUAAUAAAUAAAAAAUACCAAACGGAUCUGAAAAAUUUCCAAAAUUUGACAUGAACCAAUCUAUGUUGUAUGUUGCCUGUACAAAAAGCUUUGAAGUCAAACCCCAAUUCAAGUGUCACUUGGACUCCAAAUCUUAUCGGAUCCUUUCUAACUUCUAUGAAUCCUUUCGGGAGAUGAGUCGGUUUGUAAGCAUCAUAUGUCAUAAAUUGGGCGAAACCUUCUCAAUUUUUUACCACAGCCUCCACAUAUAAUAUCAUGACACCUUGACAAAUCUUGUGAUUUUCAGACUUCGUUUGCUUUUUUUAGAAUUUAACAACCAUUCAACCACAUGUUCGUGAUCGUGUUUUCUAAAAAAAUGUUCAAAAUUUCUUUUCAUUUCCUGGUUGAGACCUCAAUCCGGAUUGAAUAAUAUGAAUAUGAUUUUUUCACUGAUUUUAAUCCAUUAUUUAAAUCACUUGCAGUUAAAUUUGACUUAAAUAAACAAAUUCCUAUUAAUGCUAUCAAUUCAUUAAAAAUAGCAAACAGAGAAAAAAUAGACCAACUUUUAAGAUGGAUUACCAAAUGUCAUAUGUGGGGAGUAGAAAAAGUGUGGAGAGCAGAGGUGGAAAAAAAAGUUUUGCCUUUGCCAAGUGCCUACACAAACACUCAACAAACUUUGCGGAGUGCCUAUUGAAAACACUCAGCGAACUUCUGAGUUUGCCGAGUGUCUGGAGGGAGCACUCGGCAACCUACUUAUUUGCCGAGUGUCCGCGUCGGACACUCAGCAAAGUACUAACGGCUGGCACACUCCCCUAACGGACGGCGCACGUGCAAGCCAUGUGCUGGAGAUUUAUCGAGUGUCAAAUCGUUGCCGAGUGUCGUGUGGAUGUUUGCCGAGUGUCUUAUUUGUGACACUCGGCAAAGCUAUUGUUUGCCGAGUGUAUUAUUUAUGCCGAGUGUCUUCCAGUAUACACUCGGCAAAUGAUGUCUUUGCCGAGUGCUCGACAUAAAGCACUCGGCAAAAAUUUUACACUCGGCAACAUUCCUGUUUCCGGUAGUGAGUGACCCGGGACUAAAGACCCCCGUUGUCUCUGAUUGCUUUAUUCCGGAUGGAUUUUCAGGAGAUUUGCUCCCUACCAAUAGGGACUAAAGGCAAGUUUUCCACUUAUAGCAAACCAGUUAGCCCAUUGUUGAUGGAACGCAUCACUAGAAACAGCUCGGGAUCCACUUGUCCAAUAAUCGAGAGGGCCUAUAUAUGGACCACGUGUGCGGAUCCCUAAUUAGGAAAAAAGAAUAAUGGAGUAGGACAUCUCCAUGCUCACCUAGUAGCCGCUGCUAGCUUGUGCGUGUGGAACACGAGUGCCGGCCCAGUUGGCGCUAAGACAUCGUACGUGCAUUAAGGCUACGAUCUCUUUCUUCUAACUCAUGCUUGUGCUAUUAUACAUUAUUGCAUGAUCAUCAAGAUAAGAUCGUAUAGUGACUGAGUGAGACAUGUAUGUACUAACAUGCAUUUAAGCCUCGAACUGUGUGUUGUUACGUGAGCUGCCUCCUCACCUCGCCUCUGAAUUAUUGAACCGUUUCCAACAGUGUUGGUCUCAAAUAAAUUUGACACCAAACAGAUUUAUGAAGAAGAGAGAAUAAUACUUGGAAUUGGAAAAAGUUUAUCUCUCUUUACAAUGGAGUAGGGCUCCCUUUUAUAGUGACCCAUAAGCCACUUUACAUUUGGAAAAUGUCCUUCCUCAACCACUACAUUAAUUCCUAGGAUAUGCUGUACAUAAAGGUCAUUUGAGGUAACGUGUACAAAUGAACUCUUCCACAUGGUCACGUUUCUCAUGCCUCCUGUUUUCCAACCUCGAGACAUCAUCUUCACGCCAAGUUGAUCAUCUAGCCUCGAGGCUCCAUCCACGAUCCAGAAUGAACGUCCAGGCUUGAGGCUCCUUCUUCGUUAAGCUUUGUUGAGAACUCAUAACCUCACAUAGUUCUCCUCCGAGUAUUGUUCCCGACUCAGAACACUCGAGGUUUAGCUCAGUUGGAGUUUAGCUAUUACUGUUGCUAGUCACCAGCCUCGAGCCCCUCCAGAAGCAAGGUGAUGCGAGGGUACGAGUUUUACUAUUAAAGGUGUUUCCAUAGAAUGUGCGAGGUUAAAGCACUUGCAGCAAAAGCGUGGAGCUGCUUUCAACCAGAGUGCAAUAAUGCAGCCGUGCCCAUCUUGGUCUUGGUCUCCGCCUGAACUAUAGCAGAUGCUGGCAGCGGUAGCAGGGUGGUCCAUUAUAUCUAUGGAUGGCAAUGGUCGGAUUCGGAUGGAAUCGAAUUCGAAUAGCACUUUUUACCACAUACUAAUUCAAAUCCGAAUUCGGAUUCGGAUGUUCUCGAAUGCGAAUGCAAAAUGGAUGGUUCGAAUUCGAAUACUUAGCGGAUUUUUGCAUAAUAUUAAUCGAAUAGAAUUCAUUAAAUUUAGCCAAGAAAUUAAAUUUUCUGAAAUUAAAUACUUUCCCUUCGCCCCAGCGGCGGCCUAACUCCCAGGACGGUGGCGUGCGGGGCCCGAGCAUCCCUGGCCUCUAGUGGCGUGGCGGGGCGGCAUCCAGCAGCAGCGGCGGGGCUCGGCCUCCGGUGGCGCGCGGCCAGCCCGACCUACCCGGUCAGAGGUGGCGCAGCGGUGCGCGGGCCUCCCCGACCAGAGCCGGUGGGGAGCGGUGCGCGGGGAGGACCUCCCCAGCCGGAGGUAGCAGGGCGCGACCUCCCCGGCCGGAGGUGGCUCCCUGUGGGGGCGCGGCCGUGACAGCUAGCGAGGCAAUAAUUGCUUCCGUACGCAGCAAUAAUUGCUUGUGCGACACCGUGUUAUUACUCUGGUACAGUACUCCCUCCGUUGCAGUACACUGGUCCAGGCGUCAGGACACUGCUCCUGCCCUCGUGGUUCACGUGCAUCAGGCCAGCAGACAAGCUAUGAUGUUGCCAACAGUGUUUGUUUGAACAUGGAGAUGUCAUUGUGAUUGUCAGGGACCCGACACCAUGCAUGCCGAUUUCAUAUUCUUAAUAUUUAUUUUUUUAAUGGUUGUUGAAACUAUAUAGUUACUCCAAUAUCACGUUUCCGAUUAUAAAAAUUAACAUAAAGAGAUCGGAAGGGAGAGCCCGCAUAAUGAAGCCGACGCGUAUAAUAAGCACUAGAGCCGGCAUUUAUACAAACGGGUACGCAUAGUAAAAACUAGAAUUUAUAAAUAAAUGAAGAUAUUCAAAUAUCUGGCUUACUUUUUUCAUUAAUUUUGCAUGAAUAAGGGAUGAUUCAUUAAUCAUUAUUGAACAAAUUGGCACACAUGCUUCGUGCCCGCGUUGUGAGCAUUAUGCGAUGCCACUGAGCUGCACCACCACGGUAGAGGGCCUGUUUGCGAUGCCACCGAGCUGCACCACCACGGCAGAGGGUCUGUUUGGGAAGGGGAAGUUAAAGUUUAACACCCCCCAUUUAACACCUUUUUAACAAAAUGGCUGCUAAACACUUGUGUUAAAAGAGUAGUGUUAAAAUUUAACACCUCUCUUUUCAUAAACACAUGGAGGGGGUGUUAAAAUUUGCUAAAUGUGUUAAAAGUGGUCCCCUCCCCACUUAUUCCUUGGUUGCCCCCCUCUCUCUCCUCCUCUCUCUCCUACCCGCCGCAUUUAAGAGCAUUAUUGAGGGGUAAUGCAGUCCUUUUCCAACAAAAGUGUUAAACUUUAACAACCCUUCCCAAACAUGCCACAAGCAACACCACCGGCUGACUGUGCUAGCGGGGAGCACCCUCACCGCCUGCCCGUGGGGACUUCUUCUGCCGGCCAUCGUGUCUUUGUAGGACCGCCGCGUGAGCCUAUGAGCCACCGGUGGCCGUGCGCCCAAGGGCCAUCACCAUGCCACCUGAGGAUGCUGUCUACCCGGUGCCGCGUGCCUCUGCUAGCUGCUUGCACCUGGGCCGCCGCUGGUCGCCUGCACAGCCACGCGUUACAGCCGCCCCCCUGCGCUGGGCCACCCCAUUUCGUGUUGGAAGAACUGCCACAGUCUCGCGCACUGGGGUUUUGCUAGUGACGACCAUAGCCUCCAAGAUCAAAUGAAAAAGUUGGUACUCAAAACAUACAUCCAUUAAUCUAGUCGUGCUAAUCCUUACCACCAAAUAAAAACUAGCAUGUGUUGUGUUUUUGUGACCCUAAACGAUCACAAAUGAAUAACUUAUGGGCGUUGCUAGCCUAUAAGUUAUGGGCGUUUGUGACCCUAGUCGCGCCGGGGUCUUGCUGGUGACAACCAUGGUCUUCGCGAUAAAGUAUUAAGUCUCAUCGAGUUCUACAAUUUUGAUAUAAAAUUUCUAUUCAUCCGAGAUCAAAUGAAAAACAAAUGAAAAAAUCCGAAGUAUUAGGCUUCAUCGAGCUCUACAAUUUUGAUAUAAAAUUUCUAUUCAUCCGAGAUCAAAUGAAAAAAUCCGAGAUCAAAUGAAAAGUUGGAACUCAAAACAUACAUCCAUUAAUCUUGAUAUAAAAUUUCUAUUCAUCCGACAUCAAAUGAAAAAGUUGGUACUCAAAAUAUACAUCCUUUAAUCUAGUCGUGCUAAUCCUUACCACCAAAUAAAAAAACUAGCAUGUGUUGUGUGUUUCUGACCGUAAACGAUCACAAAUGAAUAACUUAUGGGUGUUGCUAGCGUCCCGGACGCUAGCAUCGGACGCAUGAGCAGCCGUCCGAUCGGGUCCGACACCACUUCACGAUCUGUCUUAAAAAAAAGUCCCACCGAAACAUUGUUCCAUGUUGCAUGAAAUACCCCACUAUCCAUCGCCAGGUCUACAGCAAGCACCACCUUCCAAUCUGCUGCUCACCCAAGCUAAAUAGGGGCAUUAAAAUUGCAGAAAUAUGUCACAUAUCCUUGUCAAAUUAAACUAAAUCGCAACAUCCGAAAAUUUCUUACACAAAACCAUGAAACAUAUCGAUUAGAUAGGUGUAACAAGAUGGAAUAUGGUAUCCAACAUAUAGAUUCCGAAAAACAGAUGAAACAUUAUGUAACGAUUGUUGAAACAGUCGAGAAAUAUAGAUGUAACGAUUAAAAUUUAGAAAAGAAGCUUUAUGCAAAUUGCAAAAAGCUGAAAUAAGUGGUUGAAACAUUUCGAAUCACCAAAUGCCACAUUUGAAAUGGCUACAUGAAACAUCACGAAAUCAAUUGCAACAGUUGAAGAUGAAAACAUUCAAAUGCCUUGCCUUUCUCCAGAUUUGACCCUCCAAGCAUGAGUCCAGCCAUUUGCACAUUAGACCCUUGGGAGGAGCUCACCGGAGAACAACAAGACCGUGUUCUCCAACAAUUUUCUGAUCAAAUUGCAACAGACAAAACAAAGCAUUGCAACAUCUGGCAUCACGAGCUACAACAUCAACAAGUUAGGAUCAGGAGAAAGAGGGAAAACACAAGCCUAACAACCCCAAGACAAAACUGAUGUACUCAUCAUACAUCACGGCUUGCCGUGCACAGAGAUGAAGGCCGCCAAGCUCAAUCGAGACAGAGACGACGUGAUAGUGCUCCAGAUCGACGGUCCCCAUCAAUUGUUGCGUACACUGCCAAAAGCAAUGGAAGAAGAAGGGUCGUCCCUGCUCGACCUCCGUAGAUGAGCGCAGAUUGGGGGAAACCGUAUAGAGUGCCGCUGACAGCACAGGCGAGGGGGCUCAGGCUUGAUUCAGGGUGAGGGUAGCGGGUAGCAUGAGGAGACAGUCAGGUUUCAUAGGAGAGAGGCGGAGUAGAGAGCUCUGGUGACUCGGUGAGGAGGGUGCGGCACGGAGAAAGGUGUGUAGCUGAAGGAGCUACAUGGUUGGGGCGAGGCGAGCGUAGAGACUAGAGAGGGAAAAAAAGCAUGGGGAGGAGACGAUAUGUGGUUGAUGGUGCGGGCACGUGGUGAGCGCACCGUAUGAAAAUUUUGCUCGCGUCGGAUGACUGAUGUGAAGCAUUACCCAAUCUUAAUUAUCUCCCAUAAUCCAAAACUCACAAAAACAUCAAAAAUCCGCCGAGAAUAAAUUAAGUAAACCAUGCACACACAGAUAAUAAAAUUGCUAAUAAGGCCAGAGAUAAUACAUGAACAUAUUAGACUGUUCAUGACACAUAUCACGGUGGAUAGUGUCUGUGUCCUUAUUACAAGCAAUGAGAGAUGCUUGUCACCACACACACGCGCACAGAUGCAUGACAUACAUAUAGUUGAGACCAACAGAUGGAUCAACUAGAGGUCACCCCAUAUGGUGAACAAUUUAUUGGAGAUAAACAUUAACAUAACUUGGCCAUAGCUUGAAGCAUAGCAACAUAUGCCUAUGAAUGGCGUUCAUGCUAUCGUUUUAGGCUUGUCCAGCUUCUUUCAUCUUAGCAAGCACUUCCAUUUCUACCAUCUUAGCAGCAACUGUCAAAUUGAGAUAUGGAAAUCCCAUUAGCGCAUGAUUAAUUUUGCAGUGGAAAUAGAGUGCAAGAUAUCUUCAUGAUGUAAAUAACAUGCCUGAAGUUGUGAGAUGGGAAGUGAAGUCAACAAAUUACAUUAACGGAAAUGCAUGGAAGGCCACACAUACGUAUUAGUCCAUAAUACGCUACAAAGCUUGUAUGUACAUAUAGCAAAUUAAAUGCAUUAAUUGAAUAGAGUGAGUUUAGUGAAUUUACCAGAAUCGUCCAGAAAACAUGGGAAACAGCAAGUGUGCUUGCAGACUGUGUCGGAGCCACCCACACGAAUACAAAGCUGACAACAUGCUUGUGCCUCGUGGGAUACGCAGCAGCCGCACUGUGCCGCG